GGUGAUGAAGGGGGUUAGGAGACAAUCUCUAUACAUUUUGCAAGCCAAGUCUCAGUUGCAAACUUCACACACGGGAGAAACCAGUUCUGCUACAACAACAGAGAAUGCGAGUGAUGUCACGCAUCUGUGGCAUAGCAGACUUGGUCAUCUAGGUCGUAAAGGGAUGGAGGUCUUACACAAGAAGGGAGCUUUUGGGAACAGUAAGAUUGAAGAGUUGAAGUUCUGUGAAGCGUGUGUUAUAGGCAAAACACAUAGAGUGAGUUUUAGUCAAGCGAAACAUGUUUCUAAGGACAAGCUUGACUACAUUCAUUCAGAUCUUUGGGGAUCUCCAAAUGUACCGCACAGUCUCAGUAGAAAUCAGUAUUUCAUAUCAUUCACAGAUGAUUACACGAGAAAGGUGUGGUUAUAUUUCUUGAAGUUCAAGGAUGAGGCAUUUCAAAGUUUUGUUACAUGGAAGGCCAUGGUUGAGACACAAAGCGAGAGGAAGGUUAAAAGGUUGAGGACAGAUAAUGGGUUGGAGUUCUGCAACAGACAGUUUGAUGGGUUCUGCAAGGAACAAGGAAUUGUCAGACACAGGACAUGCACAUACACUCCUCAGCAAAACGGUAUAGCUGAAAGGUUAAACAGGACUAUCAUGAACAAAGUUCGUAGUAUGCUAAGUGAGAGUGGACUGGAGCUGAAGUUUUGGGCUGAGGCAGCAGCAGUAGCAGUAUACUUAAUCAACAAGUCACCGUCCUCAGCAUUGGAAUUUAAAGUACCUGAAGAGAUGUGGACGUCACAUGAAGUUGAUUUGAGUAACCUUAGAAGAUUUGGAUGUUUGGCGUAUGUACAUUCUUCAGAAGGGAAACUUCUUCCUCGAGCCAAGAAAGGUGUGUUCACAGGUUAUCCAGAAGGAGUGAAGGGUUAUAAAGUGUGGCUUCUGGAAGAAAAGAAGGUUGUAAUAAGUAGGAAUGUGGUCUUUAGGGAAGAGAGAGUCUAUAAAGACUUUAAGAAUGAAGAAGAUAGUAAAACGGAGCUGAGUACUGAGUCUGUCAUCAUUGACUUAAAGUUGCUAGAUUCUGAAAGCAAAGGUCAAGAAUCAAUAAGAGUGACAUCUACAGGGGAAGAAGCUUCGUCAACUACAGAACCAAUAGAGGAGGAGAAGCAAGAUUUGGAGGAGUAUCAGUUGGCCCGAGACAGGGUUAGAAGAACAACUAGGCCACCUCCAAGACUUACAGAUUAUGAGUGUGACAGUGGUGAAGGAGAGGAUCAGUUUGCGGGUCUUGUUUGUCUUAUGUCUGAAGACACCAUAACAGAACCGGAUUCUUAUCAAGAGGCGAUGACUGAUCCUGAUAGUGACAAGUGGGCAGAAGCAGCUCAAGACGAAAUGACUUCUCUGGAAGUAAAUGAGACAUGGGAACUCAUUGAGAGACCAAAGGGUCAGAAGGCUAUAGGGUGCAGAUGGAUAUUCAAGAGAAAGGCUGGCAUUGCUGGAGUAGAACCACCGAGAUAUAAGGCUAGGUUGGUGGCUAAGGGGUACUCUCAGACUGAAGGGAUAGAUUAUCAAGAGAUCUUCGCUCCUGUAGUAAAACAUGUUUCUAUAAGAUUCAUGUUGUCAGCAGUCACGCAUUUUGACAUGGAGUUACAGCAGAUGGACGUGAAGACUGCAUUUUUGCAUGGAAAUCUUGAUGAAUUCAUUGUGAUGGAGCAGCCUGAGGGGUUUGUAGAUAAGAGAUAUCCAAACAGAGUUUGUAAACUCAACAGGUCGUUGUAUGGGUUAAAGCAGAGUCCGAGACAAUGGAAUAAGCGGUUUGAUGAUUUUGUGAGAUCGAAAGGAUAUAUCAGGAGUGAGUAUGAUCCUUGUGUUUACUUCAAGAAGAAUGAUAAAGAAGUAUAUGUCUACAUGCUACUAUAUGUAGAUGACAUUCUUAUCGCGUCUACAGACAAAGCUGAAGUUCAGAAGCUCAAAUCUGUAUUGGGAAAGGAGUUUGAUAUGAAGGACUUGGGAGAUGCCAAGAAAAUCUUAGGAAUGGAGAUAGCAAGGGAUCGAGUUAAAGGAGAACUAUCUGUGUCACAAGAAGAGUACUUGUGGAAAGUUCUAGGAAAAUACGAGAUGGAUCAGUGUAAAUCAGUGGCUACUCCAUUAGGAGCUCAUUUUUCACUCAAGACUGCAACAGAUAAGGAGUUUCAGGAUCAGGAGGAGAUUUAGAUCAUGCCAAGUCAACAACUGGAAUGAUUUUUACAGCAGGAGGAAACCCUGUUAGCUGGAGGUCUUCUCUACAGAAAGUAGUGGCUCUAUCCACAACUGAGGCAGAGUAUAUUGCAUUAUCUGAGGCAGUAAAAGAAGGAGUCUGGUUGAAGAGAUUUGCAGAGGAGUUGGGUUUCCCGCAAGAUACAGUUGAAAUAUUCUGUGACAGUCAAAGUGCUAUAGCAUUAUCGAAGAAUGCGGUGUUCCAUGAGCGAACCAAACACAUGGCUACUAAGUAUCAUUUUAUCAGAGACUUGAUUAAAGUAGGAGAGGUACAAGUCUUGAAGAUUGCUACUGCUAACAAUCCGGCGGAUAUUUUUACUAAGGUCUUGCCAGUAUUCAAGAUGAGAGAAGCAUUGAAGGUGCUUCGGGUUACUGAAGACUGAAGUCUGAGGAGAAGUCUUGAAGUCCGGUCAAGGACUCAAGGAGGAGUUCGGUGAAGAGCUUCAAGUUAGUGUUUCGGUAAGUAUCAGGUAUGUGAUAUGAGAAAAGAGGUUUUUAUUCUGGAUUUGAGAAUGAAGUUGUCAUCUAAGCUUGUGAUGAGUGAAGACUUGCCUAAGGAGGAGAUUUGUUGAGUAUUAUUCAAGUCUUACGUUCGGUUUAGGAUUCAAUAGAUUAGGCUUAGAUUCGUUUCGGUUUAGAACGGUUAAGCUUGUAAUUGUAUUGGACCGAGUUCUCUCUCCUUAGAUAGUACUCACACGUGUGGCUUGUGCGCGUGUGUAAAGGUUAGCUAGCUCAACAUAUAAGAGUUAGUUAGCAGAGGAUAAGAUCGUUGACUUGAGCUGAUUAGGUUGUUAGAUCAGUGAUCAAGAAUCAUCUAGUGAGAGAGAGCUAGGAGAACGCUUUGUAAAGACGGUGGCUCGGCUUGUGAGCUCAUCCGUUGAAGGCAUAGUAGAUUGCCGGUUCAGUCCCGGCCCCGGUGAAGUAUAGCGGCCAUUCCUCGUUAACGGAGUGGUGCGGUGAACACCGGGUGAACACUCGUGUGUGUGCUCCCGAGUUUGCGUGAUAACGAUCUUGAAGAAGAGAGAUUGAUCUUCACAAUAUCUAUUUAUUUAUGACAGAAGUGUACAUACAAACAAGACAAUGGAGGGAAAUUUACUUGUUACUUAUCAGAUCUUCUAUUCUGAAACUGUUAAUGACUUGGUUCCAUACCAACACAAACUUGGCCAUACUAUUUUUCUGGCCAUCAGAUCCCUGGAAAGGAAAAAAGGUACUUCUUAAUACGGAACUCAAAUAUACAAUUUAGUCCCUCGGCAUAUACAUGUGAUCGAUCUCUUACCCUGCAAAAAUUGAAGGGGAAAAAGCCUCUUUCUUUUCUCUUUCUCUCAUCUUUCAUUGAGUGUGGAAUAAGGGAUGCAUUGAAAGCUGAUGGUAAAGUAUGAAACCGGCCUCUCAACAUGCCUAAAGUUCGAAUCUAAAUAGAAACAAUGGAACAUAUUAGCCUGGAAACAGCAACACCUGGCCAGGAACAACACAAAAUGACAAUAGUCGCAUCAAACCCAUGUGUGCUUACCUCACCAAGGUGGUGCAGAACUCCAUACAGUCCACCAAAGAUAGUACAGAAAACUGAGUACCAUAUUUGUGUAUCCAUGAAAUAGACCUGAAAGUUCGACAUUUGUUUCAGAAUACAAGUAACGCGACAGUUUGUCAUAAACACUCAAUCUCUAGUAGAUGCAUGGAGCUAGAAACUCACCACCAUGAUUGGCGCCCAUACUGCAACAAUUGCAGCAGCAUUACUCUUCACUAUCAGAGGAGAACACAAAAGUUUCUUUAGUGCUCCACAAUACAUACUUUAAAAUAAAAGAAAAGAAGUUAAAGGUAUCAGAAUAAACCUUCUGGAAAAAUUUCAUGCCAUUCAUAGUUCCGCACGCCAACUUUCAUAAUCAGCCGUGUAGGUUCUAUUAAAGGCUUUAUCUGCAUUUUCAAAUCAUAACGAAUGUAAGAUACUGUUUGAAAUGCAUACAACAGCAGUUAAUAGGGAGGUCUAUUUGGAAAAGGCAUCAGUUUCAGCUACCUCAAAUGCAUAGCUGAAAGCAAACUUGGUCAGGAGAACCAGAAUCCAAAAGAAAGUGUACCUGAAAAGGAAGAAAAAAAAUCAAAAUCACUGAAAACUAGAAAAGAUAUGAUUAACAGAAGUAGUAACACUGUGGACGACAUACUUGAAUUGUGAUAUCUGAGUUUCUUGCACUCCUCGCCCAAUGAAUAACCUAGGCUGCAGGAAAUAAGUUAGCACUUUAUAAAGUAAUCGGAUGAUACCUUUUAAAGUGAGUUUAUACAAAACUAUAGUUUCUGAGAUAGAAGUACCUGUCCCCACCAAUACAAAGUUUUGAAAACGCGAUGAUUCGAGGUCUCAAUGUAUUUGCUGAUGGCAGGGACGAAAAACAAGACCAACUCAACCGCACUUCCGGUAAGGUAUAUAGUGACCGCCACCAUAUACGGAGAAAAACACCACUCACCAAGCCGAGUUUUGUAACUUGUGAAAUAGCAAAUGUACUUCCUUCUUGAGUGAGAAUACAGAACUGGUAGAAUAACUGUCCACAUCGCAGCCAAACCCAACCUCGCCAUCUGUUUCUUUUUUUCAUUGAUUGGCAUUGUGGUUCUGGUUUUCCACUUGAAGAUUAUGUCAAGAAUACCUGCAAUUAAUACCCUCAAGUGUCAGCAGUAAGUACUGUAUGUCUUAUUUUAUACAUUAAGAAAAUUUCUCUAAAUAACCUUUUAUAAGCUUUAGAAAAGCAGAAGUGAUGAAAAUGCUCAUGACAUCUUCAAAUAUGUUGGCGUUGAAGAUUUGGAGUGGAGAUCCCACAUCGUGACAAGCCAUAAUGAUUAAUGCCUGAAAGGGAAGUAAGAAUUUUCAUAAUCAGUAAAUGUAUAUACUUGAAUAUAAUCUGAAAGAUAAGAGCAGAAGAAGAGUAACCUGCAGAGACAAAACAAAGAAACUCCACAUUCUGUCAAAGCUCCUGAAUAUCUGCCAGAAGGAACGAAUCUCUACAAAAUUUGUCUUCCCCAGCCAUCUUUGUGUUGGUUUAAUUUGUUCCUCAGUGAUAGGCUGCAGUAACAAGAACAUCAUAUGUCACAAGAGAAGUUUUGUAUUAUGAUUCUAGAAGCAAUGCAGUUUGCUGAACCCCAAAACGUUAUUCCUAGCGACAACCUAAGAUUAUUUUUCUGAAUUUGGACUCCGGAAGCAGUUAAUAAUGUGCUUACUUAGAUUUUAAGCGAUAAUAAGCUCUGUAGUCUCUUCAAUAAGCUAGCAACACCAUACUGCUAUGACACAAUGUUUCAUUAUCCUUUUAGAUUACUUAGUGUGUGUGUAUAUGCAAAUGUAUAAUCAGGGGAAGAGAUGUCUCCAUAAGUUACAAGGAUAUGUACCCCAAGUUCUUCGUCAUCCUCCAUUUCUUCAUCUGUUUUCUUCGUCUGCCUGCGAAACCUAAGCUUUUCUCUCCAUCUCCUUGGUUUACUGGUAUCUAACGGUUCUACACAGAAAAAGUCAUGUUCUGAACGCAUUGGCCAGCCUAAUUCGAAGCAUUCAAUAGACCUGUGGAAGAUGUAACAAGUAUGAUUAGUGAUGCUCCAGGCUAAGAGUCAUAAGAUAGUGAAUGUUCUGACCAGAAAAACUCGUUGAGAUCAUCGUAGUUUCUCCACAUAGAAUGAUCAGCAGUUCCAUUCUUGUUCUUCUCAGCUUCCUGCAAGCAUAAAUCCAUAAACUUUACAAUUGAAUACUCAUUUUUAAGUUGAGCCAAGCACUCCAUCAAAUAGAAAGAUCACCUUUUCGAUAACUUUGUAUAUUGGAGUAACUACUUUCUCAAGAAAAGUUUCGUGAGACACUCCACGAUAUGCUGGAACGACCUUCUCCCCGGUUAUCAUACUAACGUCACCAGCUAAAACUCCAUGUAAUUCAUAUGCCAUCUGGAUUAACAUCAACAUCCAUGUUGCAGAUAAUGAUCAGAUUGACUGAUAAACUUUUGAAGAAGACGUAAUAAAAAGCAUAUAAACAGAAGUCUUUUCAUCAUACUUGAUGGAAUAUAUAACACAGGCACUCUGGCAUGAACCUCAAAUUCGAAGCUUCUCCCCAUAUGAGAAGGUAGAGUCCUAUGUACAGUGUUUUAUAUUGUAGGGCUUCCUUUUUCACACAGGGCAACCUGCAGGUAGAUUGUGAGGCCAUACAGUUAGACAUAAACACCGCCCAAAGAGAUGAGACGACACAAGAUGUCAAUAGAAUACCUGAUGUUAUUUUUUCUCCCAAGAAACUUACACCAGCUUGUGUAGUUCUUGAAAAAUUUCUUCAUCAAUGCAUCUACUGCUUCAUCACCAGACUGAUCACAGGAAUUAAGAUUAUUUCCAAUUUAAAAGAUGGAGGAAUAAAGAGGGGGAAUAAUAACAACACCUUUGGUUGUGAAGACUGUUUCUGAGGUUGCCGUAUAAUGGUGUUGCUGAGUAGUAGGAUCAUAUGUUCUCUUUGAUUGGCUACAUUACCACUCUAGGAAGAAGAUAAAACCGAAAUUUUGGUUACCAUGUCUGAUUAAAUACUAAUUGAAAGUUCCUAAUAAGUACCUGAAAACCAAAUGCGUACUGCAGGAAUUCAAACAAAUCCACAAAAGGCUGGUGUCUCUGAAAGUCUUCUGGAGGAGGCAACCCACGUGUGUUACGUACAAUCGCAACAGCAGCUUUAAUCUGUAGUUUUGAAACAGAAAAUAACAUUUUACUAUGACAUAACCAAUUCAUACUAGUACAUAAUAACUCGUUCUACACAUGAGGCCUUAUGUAUGUUUAGUAUACCUCAGGCAGAUGCAUAAUUGCUUGGUGUACCCCUCCUCUGUCAAGAGGAAGAAUGUUAUACGGCACAUAGAAUUCAGAUUUUGCACGAAUGCUUUCUCUAUCCGCAAUGGCCUAUAUAUCAGAAAUCACAAUCUCAAAGGUUAGAUACACAAAACAGAUUCAAGUGGAGAGAAUCUGAAAGAAUGAGGGCAGAACCUGAGGGCCAGCGCCACUUGUGACAGUCUUAAGGACUUCAUACAAAACAGAAGCAAUUCUCCGUGCGUUAACCAACUUCUCUCUCUGACUAUUUCAACAUCAAAAUAAGAUUAGUGUUGAGUUGACUAGCUUAAACUGAACUACAAGUAUAGUUAGUGAGAAGCUGAAUAAUUACCUAUGAUCCAAAUUGAAUGUAGCACCAUGUUUGAUAAUAUACUCUUUGUAAGCAUGGUAAACACGCUUGAGUUCUCGAACAUCACUCUUCUCCUUUCUUCUUAUCACGGUAAACUCUUCAUCCUAUAAUAAAACCAAAACAAGUCAAGACUAAAAUAACCCGAACCGUCACAUCUUAACACAAGAAGCUUUAAGACUUUGCCUGUUCAAGCCUUUGGAGAAGAGAAGUCUUGAACUGCCGCACACCUCUUCCCGUUGAGUUUCUGUCCAUGUGGUGAGCUAUCUCAAACGCAUGGAAACGGCCUAAGAAUCAAAAGUUUCAAUUUUUAGACUGCAGAGCGUUUGUAUUCAUGGAAAAGUUUCAAUUUUUAGACUGCAGACCGUUUUGUAUUCAUAAAAAGUUUCGAUUUUUGGACUGCAUAACGUUUUGUAUUCAUAAAAAGAUUCAAUUUUUAGACUGCAGACCGUUUUGUAUUCAUGAAAAGUUUCAGUUUUUGACUGCAGAGCGUUUGUAUUCAUAAAAAAGUUUCGAUUUUUAGACUGCAGAGCGUUUGUAUUCAUGCAAAGUUUCAAUUUUUAGACUGCAGACCGUUUUGUACUCAUGCAAAGUUUCAAUUUUUAGACUGCAGAGCGUUUGUAUUCAUGCAAAGUUUCGAUUUUUAGACUGCAGAGCGUUUUGUAUUCAUGAAAAGUUUCAGUUUUUAGACUGCAGAGCGUUUGUAUUCAUGGAAAGUUUUGAUUUUUAGACUGCAGAGCGUUUGUAUUCAUGAAAAGUUUCGAUUUUUAGACUGCAGAGCGUUUGUAUAGAGAGAGAUGGGAACUCACAAAGGUAAGCGAUGCGAGGUUCUUCAGACUCAACCAAGUUAGCAAUACGAAGAAACCUCUGAAUCUCUGAGGCUAACGUCGCCGGAAGCCUCUCGCUGUCGAAGGGCUCCGACACGUGUUCCCGGAAAGUGAGGGAUCUCGUGUACUGGUGUUCUCGUUCCGGCGAAUCUUCUCGGCCCUGAGCCGGACGUGAGUAGCUAGUGCUCGGGAUGUCGAUGGGGUCCACGGGGACGAUUUCGUGAGACAUAGUGUGGGAGUAAUCGGAACCAGACGGAAGCUGAUUCUGCGACUAAGGGUUUUGGAGGGAAGCAUUCGGGAGGAGGAGGGGGGGAGAUGAGUGGAGAGUGAUGGGGUUUGUUUAUAUAAAGCGGUUAAUUGCUUAGCGAGGUGAGUUUCCAUGGCGGAGAUUUUUGAAAAAGGGAUGAUUUUUAUUUUUUGGGGAGAGAGGUGAUAUGAUGAUAUGAUGAUGGUGCGAUUUCUUUUUGCUUUUCUUUAUUAGUUGGAGAGACGUUCUUUUUUUUGGAGGGAAAAACGGUGAUUAAAAAAAAAUGAAUUGCAAAACAAUAUAGGAUUUUUUUUUUUUACAAUAUAGUUUCAAAGGCUAGAACUAAUAUUUUUAAAAUAAAUAUAUAAAAGUAACUCUUUGUUUAUCUCUAGUUUAAUAUCACUCAAUCACACACAUAUACAAGUAUAUUUUAACAUGCAUAUGUGAAAUUAGGACACUUGGUAACCUGAAUUUUCAAACAAAUCAAAAUUAAUGAUUCUAGAAAGUAUGUCCAGAGAUUGGUUACUACAUGUUGGGGAUUAAAUCAAUGAGAUUAUUAUCAUGUACAAGAAAAUAUGAGAUUUAUAUUAGAGUAGAAGUGUGAAUUAGCUUGCAUAAUUGGUCUUAGAUAUCAUAAAGAUUAAAGUGGAAAUGACUUUUUAAUUAACUUAAGUAAGCUUUUUUUCUCCAAAAAGAAACAAAUUAAAGAAAGGGUUAAAGUGAAAGGUAGUAGGAUAUGCAGAGACAGAGAUUCGGUGUAUGUAGUUUUCUUCAAAACAAAAAUUGUUUUAUACUAAAUCCUUGCUAAAGAAACUAACAAUGGGGUAUCACUGGAAUAGUUUACACCAUAAUACCAACGUGCAUGGAAAAAGAAGAAAGAAAAACAUAUUAAAAGUUGAUUGACUGUAAAGCAGCCAAAUCUUAUAAUAUAAAAAUAAAUUGGAAUGUAAAAGCAUAUACUUCCGGAGUUGAUGUGCAUUUGUAUCUAUUUCUUAGUCACUAAGAAUAUACCAAAAGAUCACUCACAAUAUAACUUGGUGAUCAAAUCAAACCGAAUUGUUUGAACUAAGUAAAACAAAUUAACAGAAAGAUACAAAACAAAACUUUCUAUUUUAUUGACUGGGUACGAAUGUAUUUUAGAGAAACAACAAGAUUUCGGAUUAGAGAUGUAGUUAGUUCUUUUUGUUUGGUACUAUUUGCAUUAGCGAGGUGUAUUUUUUUUUUUUUUUUUUUUUUGAAACAUAAUUUAGCGAGGUGUAUAGUCCUUCUCUCUAGAGUGUAAGAGCAAUAUUAUUGGUGGGACAAAAUUUUGAGUUUUUAGAUUUUUUUAUUAUUAUUUUUAUACUAAGAAACAAUGUUAAGAAACAAUGAGCGGUAGUUUUUUACCCAAAAAGUCUAGCUCGUUUGUGUGAUGAUUGGGCCUAAUAUUUUGAAGAGACUGUUAAAGCCUAUUCGCUAAAAUUUGUAGAAUGGCUUAUCUAAAGCCCAUGACCCAUUGGCCCAUUGGCUUUAUGUCAUACAUGCAGUUUGAAAGCAAAGUUAUACCAAGUAAGCAGGCCAUAUUUUACGUUUCUUAAUUUCUGAACUGUAUGUCAUGUCAUCUGAUAAUUUGAUGCUUUGUUAAAUUUAAUAUCACAGUAACAUUGCCUCUCUUCUUAGAUCAUACUGUAUUUUCUUCCAACCCAUUUUCAUUGCUGUUAAAAAUAUAUAUAAAUGAGAGGUAACCAAUUACAAUAGUAGAUACAACUGAGUUAGCCUUGGGAUACAAGUUAAUCCAUUAAAGGUGAGAUAAAUUAUGUCAAACCACCAGGUACUAAUUAUCAGUUACCAGGUAAUAACAGUUCAAAAUUCAGAACCGUAAAACAAACCAGAACCAUUAAAUUUUUAUGUCUAAAGCAAAAAUGAUUUGUGGAAACAUUAAUAGACUUCAACGGAGACUGUUGGAGAUUAUGGUAAAUCCCAAUCUAGAAUAUGGCUUUGUAUUACACGGAUCGUUUGUGGACAAAUAAAGUUAAUUAUGCGAAUAUAUUGGAAAAAAAUGAAAGUUGAUUAUGCGAAUACGCAUCUAUAUAUAUGUAGGGUUAUUUAUGAAGUCCAGUAAAUUUAUUCUUAGUGGAAAAUGCUAAGUUCAUGUUGAUGUUGUUCCUCAAUCAUAUUCCAAGGGCUUUUAUGUAAUACUAUUCCACAAUAUGUAGAGAAGUAUGUAUAUCUUGUUAACGUCAACGACUAUUCGUUAAAUCAUGAAAAUUCGUGUGACCGAAUUAUAUAUUUAUAUCCAACUCGGUUGAUACAUAUGCUAGUUUUGUUAAUUAGUCUUCUCAAGUAAUCAUUACAUUUUUUAUAUAAUCAACUGAUAUUGAAACAGCUUUUCUUAAAUUAGGACUUCAUGAAACCAAUCAAUACAUAACUACAUCAUUAUUAUUCUCUUGCCACAGAGAAAGACUUGGUUCCUCAAAUGUAAGUCCGUAGUUAAUAUGAGAAUAAUAAUCACUACCUUCAAUCUCAAGAACACUACUAUCCACACCAUCCAUGUACGAAAGUUCCGUACACCAUUUCAUCAUCUCAUCAUCAUUUUCCGACGAAACCAGGCCAAUAUCAAAGUCGUUAAGCCACCCAAAAUCAUCUUCGAGACCGGGUUUUGUGAUCUCUUGCAGAUCCGUUUUUUGAGAUUCUAUGGUCGGAGAACUCAUGUUGAUCUCCACUUCUAACGAUCUAAUCACACGGUUUAGUUUCUCUUCUUCCUCUUCGGUAACGCUGAUAUGAUUUUCAGCUGGCGAUUCUUCUUCUAAGAACGACAUGAUCAUAAGCUCAUCGUUGAAAGUCUCCAUGCCUUGAUCCAAACCAUAUUGAACAGACGCCAUGAGAAGAGAGAAAGAGUCUGAAAAGAGUAAUUAUAUAUCACUUAGAGAAUGUAUUAUAACUUGAGCCAAAGCAAGUCUUAUAUAUAGGAAAAAAGUUAAAAUUAAUUAAUUAGGCAUAUUGGUGUAUAAUAUAAGAUGUCUCCCCACACUACACGACCAAUCAUGUGAUCAUAUGUAAUGUGAUAUGAUGAUGAUAAUAACCUUUCAUAAAAAGAAUGGGAUGCCUAACUUAUAAUGGACCAUCGAGGAGACAUGAUCACUGAAUGAAAUUAAAUCAUGGACAUUAUAUUAUAAUUAGAAAAUUAGUUGAAUGUCAAAUGUCAAGUGUCAAGUGUCCAAGUGGAAUAUCCGUAUAGGCAAGAUAUUACAAGUUUGGUAUAAUGCGUAGCCCACUAAUAGAUAUGGUUUAGGAUAGGCGAAGAAACAAAGCCGAAACAUCUACUUUUAUCGUGUUUGCAUUUAAUUUGGGAACAAAUCAAUGGACGUAAAAGGAGAAAUUUUAAUAUGCUACCGAUAAUACUGUGUAGACAAAGAAAAUACCACUACUACUAUAACAUGUUGAUUUAUGAAAACCAUUCAUCCACUUUCAUGGUAAAACUAUUCAGAUAAAGAAAAUUCCACUACUAUAACACAUCCACAGAGUAAUUGUAUUUAAUAAAGAUUUUAUUCUUGAGUAAUUAAUUUAUACUGGAAAAUUAAUGAAAUGUCGAACUUCGAUUCAUGAUUCUCUAUCAAUAGAUUUUCUCAAACAAAAAAUUUAGUAACUCUUAACAUCAGAACUUACACCAAAAGAACAUCUGAACUAUUUGAUGUAUACAUGAAAUAUUUUGAAUAACUAGAAAAUUCUGGACCUUUUUUUUUGAACAACAAUUCUUAAUAUUAGAUAAUCAGGUCAAAGUCCAAGAAGCAUUCGGAUUACAAAGAGAUAUUUUUGCCAAAGAACCAGCAGGCCUAUUUCGUUCUCUAAGUAUAAAGGAAAAAAAAAACAGAAAGUGAAGUAUGACGAUGGAAGUUUGAUAUCCGCGAGGACUCUGUAGAUGUUCUUCGGUUUUGAGAUCGAAUUGAUAACUCUGACGAGUCCUAAAAUUUUUGAUAUAAACCAGAUUUUGGUGUAGCCGCGUAAUUGAGGACAGUUCUGAUAUCUAGAGCUUCAGCAAGGAGGGCUGAAUGUACUUAAAGUUGCGUGUAUAUUUUUGGCAAAAUUUUGGACCUUAUACUUGUAUAUGUUUUAAAACGUUAACGAGGCCAAAACUAUUUUAAAUUUUUUUUUUGCUAAACAAAAACUAGUUUAGAUAUUUUUUUUGUAGAGAUAAGACCCUUUUUAACAUAACUUGAACCUAUGAUUCCUUAAAUGCUUAGUAGAUAAUCUAAGAGUUCUAUAUAUCUAUUAUGCCUAACACAUAUUGGUUAAAAACAUUUUGAAGCGAAAACCUCUUUUGUUUUAUUCAAUAAAGUCAUGAAACGAUAAGAUGACGAAACUGUUCAACAUAAUUCACGAAUCUACAUGUGAUUAGUAGUAAAAUGUAGGAAUCAAGUUAUUUUAUUAGUCAAUCUAUAGAGCUAUAAUAGCAUAUCGAGGUGGUUAUAUAAUAUGUGUGAAAUAAAAGUUAAAUACCAAAGGUAUGUACAGUGGUUUAUCUUAGUUCUAUUUGUGCCCCAAAUUUAAAUCUGAAACUUAUUUACGUCGUGUCGGGGCAUUUCCAAUUUUAUUCUAUUUUUUUUUCUAAAAUAGAGUAAAAGUGAAUAAAAAAUGUUCCGACUCAAUUAUAUAUGUCAUUUCAUAAUACAGUUUAUUCCAUAAAUAGAGUAUUAUAUUUUUUGUUUGUUUAUUACUCCAUUAUAGAAUGAAAAAUGAAAUAUGAUUGGAACAUUUUACUCUAUAUUUACUUUUAUUCUAUUUAGAAAAAAUAGAAUUUUACGUUAGAAAUGCUUUUAUAGUAUUAAGAAAAUUAGUAUCCACCAUCUAGUUUUUUCUUAUCUCGUUCCCAAAUCAAAAUUAUAAAAAUAACAUGUUUUAACAUAACGUUGUCAUAUUUUGUAAAAAUACCGUAUAUACAUCUAUUUUUAUGAAAUCAUGAAAAGUUUAUUUUUAUGAAAUAGUUUCUUAGCAUUUAUUUUAGAGGACGGAGAAAGUAUAUAAUGUCUUUAUAUAUAGUUUAUUUUUGUAAAAAAAUUGUAUGAAUGCAAAAUUUACACGCCUAUAAAACGGUUCGGUGUAUAGUGGUUGGAAGUACAUAAUAUAAUGUAGGGUUGUAAUGCAAAUGGAUGUCACACUUACGGUACACGUACCGACACUAAAUUUAUAUUAAAGAUUUAGCUUUAAUUUCGGGGUCGUUUUACGAUAUGCUAUGAUAAGGUACGUGUCACAUGUGGGUGUUGGACGUUGGAGAAGAGAUGAUUUGACCGAAUAAAUGAGAUUCGAAGCAUUAUAGAAGCAUUAGCACGGGUGGUGGACCGACCCACCCCAUUUUCAUCGCAUCAAUUAUCGAUUGGUUCACAUGCUUCCACCUCUGCUUGCGUCUUCCUUAAUGUUCUCCAAUUAUUCUCCAGGACUUGUUGAACUAUUCUACAAUAACCUUUUGUAUUUUGAUGAUAAUUUUUUCAUCAGUUUUCAUGAACUUUUUCCGUUCGUAGUUGUUAGAGGCCAAAUUCAUAUUCGUUUUGCAUUCGUCAGCGAUGAUGCCAACAGGUUAUAGUGAUCAUCAACAACAACAUCUGGUUUGAUUAUAUAUUUAUAUUCGAACAGUCACCAACGGCAUCAACAGACUUCAAAAGUAAUCGCUGAUUCAAAUUUUGAUACAAUAUAUACAAUGUAACUUAUGAAAUUAUAAUACGAAUUAUUAUUCAAAUCCCAAAAAGUUAUGUAUACCAACACAACACGAAUCUUGAGUUGAUUACCGGUACGGAUUUCCUCAACCAGCUCGAGCAUCGUCUUCUCUUGGUUACGUGUUUCCACCAUAUCUAGAUCCGUGAGGUUCGAGAUGGCUCUGAUACCAUAAUGAGACAGCAAAGGUUAUGAGUGAUAGUUUCUCUCUGUAAAUCUUCCGUAGAUCUAAAGAGGAGAUGAAUCAAGGACUAAAAGGUGAUCUGAGUUUAAGAAAUGUCACCUUCAAGUGCAAUGACCAAAGCAAUACGACGUUAAUGGCGUAUGCACAAGAUAGAGAGAGAGUUUAGGAAGGAGAUAAGUUUGAUAAUGAUUGAUUGAUUCUAGCAAAAUGCCAAAGUUGUACAAAUAAAGGAAAGAUGCUAACGGUCUAAACAAAUGACCUGUAACCGGGAUGCAACCCGUGACUGAGAGUAAUCUUAUUAGACUUGCAGUAAUAAAGUGAAAGUAAAGAUAGGUGAGUAAAGAAGGUAAAUGCUGUCACAAUGGUAAAGUCGUUCUGUAUAGAUUUACAAGCAUAUAUCAAUAUCGUCAAACCACGUCAAAGCUAUUAUCGUAAUCUACACUCUUGUUUUGUUCCCUUGUAGUCUCUCCUAAUGACUGUAUAAAUUAUGUUUCAUUUAUAUUCACUCUGUUUCUAAAUAAUGCAUAUUUUAGAUUUUUCACAAAUAUUAAAAGAAAUUUAUUAACUAUCAAUGCAUUAACUUAUAAAGUUAUAACAAUUUCCUAUGAAUUUAACUAAUAGUGAUUCAAUAAAUCCAAAAUUGUCAAUUAACAUUUUUUGAAGUUCAUAAUUCGUUAUUAAAAAUAAAUAAAAAUCUAAUACAUUAAUCUUUUAGAACCAAGUAAAAAGUGAUAGAACAUUGAUUAUUUAGCAACAGAAAGAAUAUUAAUUAAGCUGAUAUUGUUGCACUAUUGGAAGCAUCCCAGGUUAAUCAAAUCAUUAAUACUUCCUCCGUUUUUUUAUAUAAGUCGUUUUAGAUGUAUUUUUAUGUUCCAAAUUGUAUGAUAUUUUCGGUUUUCUAUGUAAAUUUUAUUAAUAUUUAUUGUUAUAUGACCAAUGAUAAUAUACUCUCUAAUUUAUUAUUGGUUGAUUUGUGGUUAGAUAAAUAAUUAAUAAUAUUUUUGUUUAGAAAAUAUAAAAAAUAAUGAUUUUUUAAUCUACUUGCAUAAUUCUAAAACGACUUAUAUUAAAAAACGGAGGAAGUAGUUUUUUUUCUUGGGAUAAAAUCUUGUCUAUAGUUUACAAUUCAUUAUUAAAAAUACAUCAAAAUCUAAAACAUUGAUAUUUUAGAACCAAAUAAAAAGUGCUAUAACAUUGAUUAUUUAGCAACAGAGAGAGUAUUAAUUAACCUGAUAUUGUUGCACUAUUGGAAGCAUCCCAAGUUAAUCAAAUCAUUAAUAGUUUUUUUAAGGAUAAAAUCUUUUCUAUAGUUUACUCUAAAAUCUUUGGCAUAUAAACAAAUUUCUUCUUUUUGGGGGGCUCAGAAAAUCUAAAAGAAAAACUUCUAAUAUAAUUUGACAAAUAACUAUCAUUUUUUUAACACAAGACAAAAGAAUAUUUUAUAGACAUUUUUAAUGUUGAAAUAUUAUAAGCAACUAAGCAAGUAUCAUUUCAGGAAAAGAAAACUAGGAAAAGAGUAAGACACAUUCCGUAGAAAGGAAAGAAAGUGUAUAGAUGCCAUGCCUUGUUGAAACCUUCUAAAGCAGCUGGAAGGUUUCGCGUUGAUAGAGCCCUAAACGCUUCCCGCCAUUUCGUCCUCAAUAAGGUCACGUGACUAACUAACUUUUUUUCUUUUUUUUUUGAAACACAUACGGGACUAACUAACUAAUGUGGGAGUUUAAACGACAUGGCUUUCUCUGCAGAUACAUCUUCUCUGGCGUUUUUUCUUCCGAACCCCUAGUUUCUUUUCCUAAGCUCAAGUAGGAAACUUAGAACUCACGCAAUCUUCCGAAACAUGUGCUGUACAUCUAUAACUGAUAUGGUUGUUUCAAAGAUAGGUUUGGUUUUGUUUCGCAAAAGUUGAGACACGAGGAGAUGUCAGUUUGUCAAUUCUAGCACCUUCGCUCGCUCUUAUUACAUUGUGUUUAUGCUUCAGUUUCCAGCUUUUUUGGACGUUAUCUUAUUACAUGAUGUUUCUCUCGCAGACCAAGAGCUUAGCUUGGUUUCGUGCCUACAAUGCCCCUGAACGUAUUCUUCUAGCUAGAACAAAUCAAAUUUGAUCUGUGUGUUUACUUACUCUAAUCAGCUAGCCUAGAAGUUAAGACACUCUUAAUAAUCUAAGAUCAUAUCUUCACAUAUUUUUCUUAUAUGCACCUUCACAUUGUCUUGACUAAGGAUUGGGAAAAUGCCUCAUGAUGCUCUAUGAUCAGACUUCACAAUCUGUAUUUCAAAAGUCAAUUUUUGUUUUUAGAAUUUCCUGUAAUAACUAAACACUGGUCGAUGUAUUUAGCUAUUCAAAUUAUUAUUACAACUUACCUUAUAUAUAUGAACAUAGAUCGUGACUUUUCAUCCAACGAUUUGUUGAAUAUUCAUAUAAUCUUUUUUAUACAAAUUUAAAAUAACAAGAACGACGUUGACCUUCAUUGCUUCCAAUUCCAAGAAACCUAAUAAGAACUUCACAUGCUCUUAGUGGGCAAAGACUCAAAGCCAAUUAUAAAAUUGUAUUAGAGAAAGUGGAUCAGCAAUGGCGACUGUUCAUCUCAGCUCAUCAUCCCUCUUCAUACAAUUCAAAGGAAGAAGAUACAACUCUAUAUCCUCCGUCAAGAGUCUCCAAAUACGCAACGUUUUGUCUAUCUCAUCUUCUCUCACGUCACGAGGUGGAGGCAUGAUUACACCACACGGUAAAGGCAAUGAUCACAACCCCACCUUUGACUUCAAGUCAUAUAUGAUCCUUAAAGCGGAAUCUGUGAACGCUGCUCUAGACGUUUGCGUACCGCUUAUGAAACCCCUCACGAUCCAAGAGGCGGUGCGGUACUCAUUGCUGGCUGGUGGAAAACGUGUGAGGCCUCUUCUAUGUAUUGCUGCCUGCGAGCUCGUGGGUGGCGACGAGGCUACUGCCAUGUCGGCAGCUUGUGCGGUGGAGAUGAUACACACUAGCUCUCUGAUUCAUGAUGACCUUCCCUGCAUGGAUAAUGCUGAUCUCCGCAGAGGCAAGCCAACCAACCACAAGGUGUGUUGUAAUUUGUAAAUCAUAUGAAGGCUCGAAGAAAUGCUCACUAGUGUAUCAUGUUAAGUUAGAUGAACUUGCAAACUAAAAUCAAUUGGUGAUAAGUGGAUUGACUCUCAUAUACUAGUUAAUAUUCCUUGCAACUUUUGAUGCGGGCCCCUUGUCCCUAAUAUAUCUUUCCUUGAUGCUAAUGUUUGGUAUUGAACCAUUUUAUUCUCAAACAAGUUAUUUGGAGAAGACAUGGCGGUUUUGGCGGGUGAUGCACUUCUUGCUUUGGGUUUUGAAAACAUGACGGUUGUGACAAGUGGUUUGGUCGCUCCUGAUAGGAUGGUUCGCGCGGUAAUUGAGCUGGCAAAGGCCAUAGGGACAAAAGGGCUUGUGGCUGGGCAAGUGGUUGACCUACGCAGCGAGAGAAUAAGUCCUGAAGUCGCUGGACUGGAGCGUCUAGAGUUCAUCCACCUUCACAAAACAGCUGCAUUGUUGGAGGCAGCUGCGGUUUUAGGGGUUAUAAUGGGAGGCGGAACGGAGGAAGAGAUCGAGAGGCUUAGAAAGUAUGCGAGAUGUAUUGGGCUGUUGUUCCAAGUGGUUGAUGAUAUUCUUGACGUAACAAAAUCUACCGAGGAAUUGGGUAAAAGCGCCGGGAAAGACGUCAUGGCUGGGAAACUGACGUAUCCUAGGUUGAUUGGUUUGGAGAAAUCUAGGGAACUUGCGGAGACAUUGAGCAGAGAAGCAAAGGAACAGCUUCAAGGGUUUGAUUCGAAUAAGGCGGCACCACUGGUGGCUCUGGCUAGCUACAUUGCUAGCAGACACAACUGAUCUUUUGCAAUAAUUGAUCUUACCUCAAUGUAUCUAAUGUCCAAAGUCCAAACAAGUUCGUUUUGUUCGCUUUCUGGUCUUCUUUCUUAUGAAACUAUUUAUGUUGUGACUUCUCUGUGUUUUCAGGUCGUAAUUUGUCUUUUGAGAUCUUAAUGUCAUGUCUCAACAAAUAUCAUGCGCACAUGGGAACAAAGCAAGUGGGUAUACUAAGAACGAGGUUAUAUAUGUGGAUUCCCCGUUUAAAUGAUCAUCUGACGUUUUGUAUAUAAUUUAUGUUUUAGGCUUUAGCUACAUGAGUCGUUGGGUUGUAUCUCUGUGUGUGAUCACUGAUUAGUUAAAAUCACAAUAUUUGUAUUUGUGAAGUUAAAUUCUCUUUUAAGUACCCUUGUUUUGUAUUUAAUUAGUACCUAUGCUUUUAGACGAAAGACUUUGUCUAAUCUUCAUAUCCAAAUUUCAGCUAAUUUUAAGUAUGCUCCUUGUUUUUUUUUUUUUUUUUGUCUUAAACUCUUAUCUAAAUGAGGAAACAUACACUAAUAUGAAAGGGAUGAAAGAGAACAACUGAAAGCAAGGUUCCUUAUUUCCCACGGCAAUGGGUUAUAUCAUGACUUUUAAGUCAACAACUUAGAAUCUUCAGAUUUAAACUCGGUUCGAGGAAGAAGAGUGCAGAUUAGGGGAUGAGCCAUGGUCAAGGACAAUCCUUCAAGAGUCUCUUCCAUGCUAACAGUUUUAUCUCCACUGAUUAUCCAGUCAGAGCACUGAACCAUCAUUCCAACUCCGGUUUCGAGAAAGAUAUAUCCAAGAUUUUCUCCAGGACAGCCUCUCCUUCCGCUGCCAAAUGGAAUUAACUUAAGGAUUUUCUUUCUUUCAUCUUCUUGCUCAGAACUUGAAGAAGCAAGAAACCUCUCUGGCUUAAACUCAUCAGGAUCUCUCAUAACAGCGUAAAUGUUCACAACAAGUGUUGUCCUCGCCGGUAUGUGAAACCGUCCAACCUUAAUUCUUCAAACAUCCUUAACAUAAGAGGCGCUACCGGGUGAAGUCUUAGUGUUUCCUUAACCACCGCUUGCAAAUAAGGAAGUCUUGGUAGAUCCGUUUCUUGAAUCAACCUUGUUUUCCCUACCACAGAAUCUAUUUCUUGCCUCAACCUCUCAAGAAUAUUUGGUUUGCUGAGGAUCUCAGCCAUUGCCCACUGCAUCAACUUUGCAGUGCUGUCAGUGCCUGCAAGGAAAAACUCCUGAAAGUGCAGACACAAACGUAUUCUUAGUCGUUGAUAAAAAUGAGUUCUUUGAUAUUUUUCUCUGAAAAUAAACAAUAAUUACCACGAUCAACAACUUGAUGUGAUUUCUAGUGAUCUUAUAGUCUACUUUUUCAUCUCUAGAAGCUGCCAAUAAAACGUCCAUCAUGUCUGUAUCUUGAUGUUUAUCUUCGUGUUCCCGGAGAAGCCUCUCUAGCAGCUCAUUGAAUCCGCUGGAGACCCUUCGAAUCUCCUUCUCAUUAAGCGGCUUACCUAACAUGUUUGAAAAGAAAAAUUUCUUAAACAAACCCAUUGUCUUGGUCACUGAGUCUCUGACCUUCUCUGCCUCACCGUCCUCCUCAGAGCAACUCCUCCCAAUGAGCAACUUGGACAUGAUGUUGUUAGUGAGCACCAUUGCUUCCUUUCCUAUCUCAACACUCUCCUUCUUUCUCGCCUUGUCGAGCAGUCUUGCGUAAAACCGCUCUAGCUCAUCUGCACGGAUGCCUCGUGACCGCUCCAGUGCCUGAGUACCCAACAUAUUCAUGACCAAGACCUUCUUCAUGAACUUGUGAUAAUCUCCGAAGUCAGCGCCUACGAAUGUUUCAUGUCCGAUAAAGAGAGAAUUCUCCAGUGUACGAAAACCACGUGAUGAGACAUUCACAUCGUGCGUCCUGAAGAGCUCGUAUGCCCUAGAGGCCGAGGAGGCAAGGACUAAGGGGACUUUGAAUAUACGGAGGUGGAGGAGACCUCCGUACCUGGAUGAGAUAUUCUGAAAAGACUUGUGUGGUAGAACAGAAAGGAGAAGGUGAAGAUGUCCUAUGAUGGGCAGAGAAGGAGGGCUCGGAGGCAAAUCAAAGCCAUCUUUUGGUUUCUUGAAGAAGAUAUAGUAACAAAGGAGCGAGAAGAAGCAUAGGAAGAUCAAGAUGAAGCAAUUUAAAAAGUCAAUGGUGAUCAUUGCUUCCAUUGUUGCUCAAUGGAAUAUAGUACAUUUCUAAUGAUACAUUAUAUAAAGACACAGGUUUGUAACCAGAUUAACUAUUAAAAUUGAGUAAAUAGUGUUCACUGUCCAAGAAAACAGACAACUAAGGUUUCCACAUGAAUCAUGUGGAUAAAAUAUUUCCAUAAAUUAGCAUUUUAUAUUGUCACUAACCUUGUUAAAUGGAUUGUUUAUAUUAGUAGAUAUGAUUGGACGAAGCACUGAGUUUCACAAGGAAUCACUUUGAGUCCCUGGCAAAGGGUGCUAGUCCCCACUUCUAUAGCCACAUACCUAAACAUUUACUAAUAUUCUUAACUAUGCGUUUAACAAGGUUAGUGACAAAAUAAUUGCUAACUUAUGGAAAUGUUAUAUCCACAUCAUCCAUUUGAAACCUUAAUUGUCUGUCACCUUGGACAGUGAACAUUAUUUACUCAAAAUUUUAAAAGUUAGUCUGAUUGCAACUGUUGAAAGUAACAUGUAUUUUUUUAUAUGUAUCAUUAAAAAUGGACUAGCUUUCAGUUGAGCAACAAUGACAGCAAUGAUCACCGUUGACUUUCUAAACAGCUUCAUAUUGACCUUCCUAUGCUUCUUCUGGCUCCUUUGUUACUAUCUCUUCUUCAAGAGACCAAAAGAUGGCUUUGAUUUGCCUCGAAGCCCUCCUUCUCUGCCCAUCAUCGUGCAUCUUCACCUUCUACUCUAUGUUCUACCACACAAGGCUUUUCAGAAGAUCUCAUCCAGGUAUGGACCUCUCCUCCAACUCUGCAUAUUCAAAGUCCCCUUAUGCCUCGUCUCCUCGGCCUCGGUGGCCUACGAGAUCUUCAGGACGCAUGACGUGAAUGUCUCAUCACGUGGUAUCCGUACACUAGACAAUUCUCUCUUCUUCGGACAUGAGACAUUCACAGGCGCUCCCUUUGGGGAUUAUUACAAGUUCAUGAAGAAGCUCCUGGUCAUGAAUCAAACAUGUUAGGUAAGCCGCUUAAGAAGCUUGGCAUCUCACUCUUCUAAAAGGAGAUUCGAAGGGUCUCCAGCCGAUUCGAUGAACUGCUAGAGAGGCAUCUCCGGGAACACGAAGAGAAACCAGAGAAACAUCAAAAUACAGAUAUGAUGGACGUUUUAUUGGCAGCUUCUAGAGAUGAAAACGCAGAUUAUAAGAUAACUAGAAACCACAUCAAGUUGUUGCUAGUGGUAACUGUUCUUUUCAGAAGAAAUAUCAAAGAAAAAAAAAACUCAUUUUAUCAGGACUAAAUAAAACGUUUGUGACUGUAUUUUCAGGAGCUUUUCCUUGGAGGCACUGACAGCGCUGCGAAGUUAAUCCAGUGGGGCAAUGGCUGAGAUCAUCAGCAACCCAAAUAUUCUUGAGAGACUAAGGCAAGAAAUGUAUUCUGUAGUCGGGAAAACAAGGCUGAUUCAAGAAACCGAUCUACCUUAGACUUCCCUAUUUGCAAGCAGUGGUUAAGGAAACACUAAGAUUGCACCCACCAGCGCCGAUUUUGGUAAGAAUGUUCGAAGAAGAAUGUAAGGUUCGAGGGUUCCGCAUACCGGAGAAGACAACACUUGUUGUAAACGCUUACGCUGUUAUGAGAGAUCCUAAUUUCUGGCAAGAUCCUGAAGAGUUUAAGCCAGAGAGGUUUCUUGCUUCUUCAAGAUCUGAGCAAGAAGAAGAGGGAGAGAAAGUUCUUAAGUUUCUUCCUUUUGGCAGUGGAAGGAGAGUCUGUCCUGGAGCAAAUCUUGGAUAUAUCUUUGUAGAAACCGGAGUUGGAAUGAUGGUGCAGUGCUUUGACUGGAGAAUCAGUGGAGAUAAAACUGUUAACAUGGAAGAGACUGCUGCAGGAUUGUCCUUGACCAUGGCUCAUCCCCUAAUCUGCACUCUUCUUCCUCGAACUGAUUCCUUUGAGUUCAAAUCUCAAGAUUCCAAGUUGAUAACUUAGAAAAUAUCUCUGCUGAUUGAUCGGAGACCUACAGGCCACUUGCGUGGGUAAUAAGGAAGCUUGCUCUUCCAUCUCUUUCUUAGAAUGUAUGUUUCUUUGUUUACUAGAUUACAUAUUUUUGCUCUCUUCCUCAAUAUUAAUAUAUCUUGGUUUAACAUUUUGAAAAAUUCAUGUUGGAGACUACUAUUAAUAAUGCUUUAAUGAUUAGAGAAUGACUUUCUGUCUUAAGACGUUGCUUCUAUGCACAGUGACCAAAACCAAAAGUGAGUCGAUGAGGUUCACCAUCAGUACAUGUAUAUGACUCUAAUAAGCACUACAGUAAAAAGUAUUACUUAGACAAACAAUGAAUUGUAACAAAAAUAAAAUCUUGCAUCAUCCAUCAUUCUAUGUCAAUGUCACCCAUCUGGUGCACUUCAGAUAAUAUGCAAAUGGAACUAACAGGCAAGAAAAGAACAGAAAACCAAGUCAAUCCACAAAACAAGUAAAACAUCUAACUUUACAAAACAUGAGUAAAUUGUUCAUCCUGUUGGCAAUCAAGAUACUUAAUCACCUCCGCAUCCGCCUCCACCACCUCCAUCUCCACAACCGCCACCUCCUCCCCCUCCUCCACAACCACCACCACCUCCUCCCCCUCCUCCACAACCGCCACUUCCUCCCCCUCCCCCACAACCACCACCUCCACCUCCACAACCACCAGAACUACCAUAGAUAACGGCUCCAGCAACUGGUAUGGCAGUGCCAGUGCCUGUCAGAAUGACAAGAUCUCCAUCUUUGGUUCUAUACACAGGCGUCUGGAGCUGCAGUGGCUGUGGUGGCCGUGGUAGAGGCGGCGGUGGGGAAGGAAGCUUAGUAUUGCGGGUGAUGAUGCAGCCUAUGAUGAUAACCACCACUGCUAAAACAGCGCAGGCAACAAGUCCGAUGACCAAGUUCGACAUUUUCUUAAGUUUCUUCCCUCAUUUCUUGAAUGAAACUAAUGGAACUAUUGACGUACUCUAUAAAUACUCCCUUGUAAUUUAUAAACUCCUUUUUAUAUAAAAAGCUUGACCAAGGUUAUUUAGUCUUACAAGAAACUCGUAACAACAAUAAGUUGAGACUCAUUCUCCAGCCUCAUUCAUAACAAUCUUAUAUCUAGGCAAAACUAUUGACCAUUGACAUAUAUAGUCUAGUUUAUCAUGACCUGGCUCGAAGACAAGCAAGCUUUUGACAAAGUGUAGUACUCUUAUACAAAGUGUAGUACCGUCCCACUUUCUGUCUACAGUAGAACACAACAUAUACAUUACACAAUUAGAAGGGGAAGAAAAGCCAAGGAGAUAUAUGGAACAAAUAGAAUAUGUUUUUGACUGAUGCAAGCGAAUCAGGGUUUAAUCAUAUCUUGAAGGUGAACGUGAAUCAUAUGACCUGUGUGAACCAUGAGACCUUUGUGAACCUGAAACGUUUAGUCUUGGAAGAUGAAACUGAUGAUAUUGAGGCUGUGGUUCCAUCGGCUGUCUGAGAUUCCUGCAGUUCGUGACCGAGACCGUGACCUGUAAGUUCAGCUCUGGAAGACGCUGCAGAUUCUGACAGUCAUUGAUUCUCAGGUUUCUUAGAGCGUUCGGACCAUACGAAUGCUCCUUCGAUAGCUGCAAAGACUGCAGAGAUAUGCAGUUAUCAAACUCAAGCGUGUGGAGGUUGGCGAAAUGGCCUAAAGGAAAUGUAACGAGAGAGUCACAGCUGCUUUUUAUGCUUAGCCUUUGAAGAUUCCUGUAGCUGUACUCGUGGUGGUCUGGCUGGAAAUCUAAGACCCCACAUUUAUGGAUAUGAAGAGAUAUCAGAGAAGGAAGAAAAGUCGGUAGAUUCCCGGUUAGCUCCGGACAUCUUAGUAUGGAAAGUUUCUUUAGAGAAGGGAAUAAGUCUCCUUUGGUGACCCUUAUGUCUGACCAGUCUUCCAAAUCCGGCAGAUUAUCAAACCGCAGCGUUUCAAGUGACUUAAACGGCUGUUGGUCUCGAUCGCGCAGUGAUGGACUUAAGUAGAACUCGGAACCUAUGCUUCUGAGCCCGACCAUUCCUGAAAUGUAAAGCUCUUUGAGACCUGGGAGUUGACCAAAAGAUGGCAACGAGGAACGGUUUCGACAUUCUCUGAGGCGUAUGCACACAACUCUUGAGAACGAGGAAUCACACAGCCAAUCUGGAAACUUUUUUCCGUUGUAUCUCUCAAUGGCGAGCUUCUCGAUACGACGAUGUGGGCGUAACUUCUCAAAGACUUCAGCUUCGUUCUGCGUCCGGUGAGGAUUUGUAUUGCUCUCUGAGCUACUAGAUCCAGUUCUCCAGAUAAAAUCAAUCUCUUUUAGAUGUUUCUUGCUGUCUAAAUUUGCUCCUGCAGCAUCAGCAACAUCCACAACUCGCUGUAGCUCGACUAUUCUGAGUUUGCCAUGGAGUUCAUCGAGUUCUCCAAGUUCACAAAUCCUUGCCCCAUCACUAGCACUCACGAAAAAUGUUGUAAGAGUCUGGAGGCUCUUCAAUCUACCAAAUCUUUUCGGCAUUCGUUUUAGCUUCGUCCCAAUCAGAUCAAGAUACCGCAGAUUGAUGAGGUUGCAGAUGUCUGUAGGUAGGUCCUUCAGACUGGAACAGUAGGCCAAAAGAAGUGUCUGGAGGUUAUACAUAUAACAAAGGGACUUCGGAAGCUUCUCGAGUUCAGUGCGAGAGAGAUCCAAGAACCGCGCAUGGCUCAAGUUCCUGAAAAAGUCUGGAGGCAGCCUUGAGAUCUUGUAAUGUGACAAAGACAAAACACGCAAGCGGGUAAGCGUUGGAAGUAGCUUCUCGCUGACCAUUGUAUCUAAGCAGCAUGACCGCGAAGAAUUUGUGAGGCUGAGUGGUAGAAAAGUUCUGAGAUACUUCACCUCACGGAGAGCUUCAAACCUCAUAGGUUCACCGUAAUUAUCUCGUAGGUAGGAUAGAUACCUAGUCUUUUCUGAAAUCUGAAAUUUGCAGCCAUUUUCAAACUUGGAGCUGAACUCUCCUGAAGCAAACUGAGAAAGCUCAUUGAUGAAGUCAUGCAUCAUAUAUCUAGUCUUGGUCUUUUGGAAAAGCGACCUUGAUUCCAGUUCUGAAAAGUACUCAUCCCCAAGCUCUUCUAGAUUCUUACUGCUUCUCGUCUGCUGCAAGAAACCUUCUGCCAUCCACAGAAGAACUACCUUUUCCUUCUCAAACGCAUGCCCUUUGGGAAAUAUCGAACAAUAGGCAAAACAUCGUUUCAAGUGAGCUGGAAGGUAAUAGUAGCUUACCCGUAAAACUGGAAGUAGAUUGCUCUUAUCAGCUGGAAGAUCCCAAAUCCUGCUGCUUAGAACUCUCUCCCAUUCUACGACGUUACCUUCAAACCGUAAAACACCACCAAGUGUUUUCGCAGCCAAGGGCAAGCCGUGGCACUUGUACACUAUCCUCUCCGCAAGAUCUCCAAUUUCUUGAUCUAAGCACGGAUCUUGAUUAGGAAAAACGGUUCUCAUAAACAACGACCAGCAAUCUCCAUCAGAUAAUGGCUUAAGGUUGUGUACAUGGACAGAACACAUAAUGGUUGCAACGCGUUGGCUUCUUGUUGUCACAAUAAUCCGGCUCCCUCGAGCAGCAGAUGUGAAGGGUUGGCGUAGAAGAUCCCAAUCCGCAAAAUUUUCAUUCCACAGAUCAUCUAGAACAAGCAGAAACGGUCCUAUUAACCUCUCCUUCAAUUUGACUUGAAGUACAUCCAGAUCGGUGAACUCGCAAGGCCGGGAAGUAACAGAUUCAUAAACCUUCUUGGUGAUCUUGAAAACGUCAAACUCCUCUGAGACAUGAGCCCAGACCCUAGUUCCAAAAUGACUCUGAACACGCUGAUCGUUGUAUAGGAGUUGUGAAAGUGUGGUUUUGCCAACCCCACCAAUUCCAACAAUAGCUACAACGGCUGUCCCGCUAUCCUCCCCGUUCUCAGGAAUCAAGAGUCUCAUGAUCUCAUCUUUAUCAUCACCUCUACCAAACACUUCAGAUUCAUCCACAAGAGAUGUCGUUGGCAACCUUUGUUUGGGUGUCAUUGCAGUUAUCUCUUUCAAACCCAAAACAUUUCUUUGUGAGGCUAAACGCUCGAGCCUUAUCGUGACCUUCGCGAGCCUGGUCUCCAAAUGAUCACUGCUCCCAUCCAAAAGAUCUCCCAGGGUUCUGAUACGAAGCUGUCUCAGCGUAUUGGAAGAAGAUUCAGCUCCUAUGUUGAGACGCAGAGCUUCUGUAGCAAUAUCAUCAAGAGCAUCCUCAGCAUGGUAAACAACAUCCCUCAGUUCGUUGACCCAUUUUUCCACCGCUGGGUUUGUAAUCUGUUUCUCCUCCGCAUCAAUCAGCACCGCGCUUAUUGUCAACAACGCAGUGUUGAGCCUCUCUAGUACACACUCGUUCAGUUCUCGCCUCUUGAAGAAGGACUUGAAAGGACCAGACAUUAACGUCUGAAAGAGAGCUUGUAGAAAAGCCGAGAGAAUUAACUCUCCUCCAGUCAUCUUGUCUGUCUCUGCACACAGAAAGACCUCUGGGGAAACAAAAUAAACAAGAGAAGAAAUCAAGAAUUUGAAGCUUUAUGUCUCAGGAAAUCAAUAACUUCACAGCAGGAUAUUUAUUUCUUCAGUUUACAUUCGCAGAAUCAAAUAUUCCAAUAAGUAAGAAAUUACAAGGCAAGUGGUAGGAAAAAUCAGAGAAACUAACAAUAACUAAACUUGAUAAAACACCGAAGUAUAUUCUACCUUCACCAAGUGAAACUACCACGAAAAUGACUAGAAGUUGCCUGCAUUUUCAUAGAGAAACUCGAGGAUGGAAUCAAACGGACCAAAACUUAUAUGAACAAUGAAUUAGUCAGAACUUAUAAAGAAUGAAUUAAUCAAAUUGUUUACUUUAGAUCAAAAUGGCAGAUGAAUUCGCCGAGUUGACUUGAAAAACUACUCAGCAAAUUCUGUUAAGCAACAUAACUGUAGCAGUUUAAUAAACAGGUAAGAGACGACUUCAAAUUAAAAAAAGUGCAUCGUCCACAAACGAACAAAAUAUUAAAUUCGAGAAUGAUUCUCUUAUGAGCUGGCACGAAACUGUCUUGGUCUACCAACUGAGACAAAGUCAAUCUUACAAGGUAACACACAAAAAUGCAAAACCGUGUGUUAAAUCAACGGAUGUACAUUUUGGAGUCUUCGUAAAUGAUUGCUUAGGCCUUUAAUUGUUUUUGUCUUCUAUAGGGUCAAGGCGUGAAGGGUCUACAGUGUCCUUCUGGAGCGCUAUUGGCUUAAGCACAACCGAGAUUAGACAUGUAGAUUUAACGGAUUAAAUUUGUUAAAAUUGUGAAAAAAAACUUGUUAAAAUUGUGAAAAACAUCAUGAACCAAAAUAUUUUAUGAGAAAAGUAGUUUUAGUUUAAAUUUUCUAUACCAUCUGUCAAAUCCGUAACAGAUCAUUUACAUCAAUUAGAGAAGGUAUAAAAUAGAUUGUGUAAAAUACAAGAAAACUUACAUCUUGUGGUAUUUAUUGGUUGAACCGAGACAUUGGCAGGACCUUUUCUUCCCUGAGCUUUCUUAAGGCUGAAUAUUAUGCAGCCAAACCCUUUUUCGCUUCCUACAUAGAUCCAAAAAUCCAGACACAAGGCUGAACAUAAGAGAAAGAAAAAAAGUAAGAAUAAGAAGGCAAAGAAGCGUGAAAAUUCUGCUUCACCGUGUGUUUGGAAAUAGGGAAGAGGACGGAGACAACACAAGACAAAGGUAGAACUCAUAGUGCAGGUCAGAUUCACCUUAUUUCUUCCUUAAUUUGUCCUCUUUUUCUGGAAUGUAACUCAUUGAAUGCUCCAUGUCCAUGAGCACUGCAAGGAAAUUUUAAUAAUAGUUUAGAAAAUGGAGAUGUAUUAUAACAGUUCUACGCAAAAUGUCUGUAAACUUGUGGAUCUCGUGAUCAAGUGGAAGACAAUAAUCUCUAAAAUCUUGACAUUAUUACCACUUGCUGCAGGCCAGCUGACAAAUUGCAUAAGGAACAGCAAGUCAAUAAACCCUUUCCGCUUUGCUUAUUCCAAUAACUGGCUUGCGAUUUUCCUGAGUUGCAUCUCCUUGGCUCCAACAAGCUACGAGGGAAGACAUGGCGAAGUUCUAUUCCUCAAAUGGCGCGAACGUGAUGAUUGAACGGAUUAACAAUUCUCAAGAAUUGGUCGAAUUAUGCAAAGGAAAGUCCUCCGGUGCAUUGCUGAAGAGAUUGAAGGUCGCUUUGGCCACUGUCCACCCGGUGAUUGCGGACGCUGAUCAGAAAGCAGAUCAUGUCCGAGAAGUAAAACAUUGGCUUACAGGACUCACAGAUGCUUUCUUCCAGGCAGAGGAUGUUCUUGAUGAGUUACUAACAGAGGCUUUGAGAAGAAGAGUAGUAGCUGAAGUGGGAGGAUUCGGGGGACUAUUCCAGAAUCUUAUGGGUGGUAACGAAGCCAACAAGAAUAAGAUAGAACGAAAGAUGGAAAACGUAGUAAGACUGCUGGAACAUCAUGUGAGACACAUAGAAAUUAUUGGAUUAAAAGAAUAUAGCGAGACUCGGGAACCACAGUGGAGGCAAGCGUCACGGUCCAGACCUGAUGAUCUUCCACAAGGCAGAGUGGUUGGGCGAGCAGAAGAUAAAGUAGCAUUACUCAACUUGCUGCUUUCUGAUGAUGAAACAGGCAUUAGGAGACCAGCUCUGGUUUCCACUGUAGGUAUGCCUGGGGUUGGAAAGACAACCUUGACGCAGAUAGUUUUCAAGGACGACAGUGUGACCAACCACUUUGAUGUUAAAAUGUGGGUUUCUGUUGGGCUAAACUUUAAUGUCUUCACGGUUACAAAAGCCGUACUGCAGGAGAUCACUUCAAGUGCAGUUAAUACUGAGGAUCUACCUUCACUUCAACUUCAGCUGAAGCAAGAACUAUCAGGGAAGAGAUUUUUACUCGUUCUGGAUGAUAUUUGGUCUGAAAGUAGCACAGAGUGGGAAAGCUUCAAGGUCGCCUUUACUGAUGUAGAGGAAGGAAGUAAGAUUGUUAUAACAACACGAAAUGACAUUGUCUCCACAGCCGCACAGGCUGACAAAGUCUACCGAGUGAAGCUGAUGACCAAUGAAGAAUGCUGGGAGCUGAUCUCUAGAUCUGCUUUUGGAAAUAUCUCAGUCGGUUCUAUCAACCAAGAACUUGACGGGAUUGGCAAAAGGAUUGCAGAACAAUGUAAGGGCUUACCGUUAACUGCAAGAGCCAUCGCAUCUCAUCUCCGGUCAAAGCCAAAUCCUGACGACUGGUAUGAUGUAUCAAAGAAUUUCUCGACAUACACUAACAGCAUCCUUCCAGUUCUUAAACUGAGCUUUGACACUCUCCCUCCUGUACUCAAGCGAUGUUUUUCACUCUGCUCGAUAUUCCCCAAGGGUUAUGUGUUCAAAAGAGAGGAGUUGGUGCUUCUAUGGAUGGCAAUAGACCUCUUAUACCAGCCAAGGAGUAACAAAAGAUUAGAAGAGAUUGGUUAUGAUUACAUUGAUGAUUUAGUUGGUCGAUCUUUCUUCCUGAGGUUGGACAUCAAAAUGAAAAGCUUCGUGAUGCAUGAUCUCAUGAAUGAUUUGGCUAAAGCUACUUCAGGAGAUUUUUGCUUCAGACGGGAAGAUGACAAUAUUGCGGAGGUGCCAAGCAAGGUUCGACAUUUUUCCUUUUCCAGAAGCCAGUGUGAUGCUUCCAUGGCUUUCAAGUCCAUCUCUGGAGCUGAGUUUCUUAGAACCAUUCUUCCCUUCAAUGUUCCAACCGGUCUUGAAUCUCUCCAGCUCACAGAGAAAAUUUUGAAUCCAUUGCUUCAGGCAUUGAGCAGCCUGAGAAUUCUCAGCUUGUCUCAUUAUCAGAUAACUCGCUUGCCUAAAUCAUUAAAGGGUUUGAAGCAGUUACGGUAUCUAGAUCUGUCAAGCACCAAAAUAAAAGACCUCCCAGAGUUUGUGUGUACACUCUGUAAUUUGCAGACACUGUUACUAUCAAACUGCCGUUACCUGACUAGCCUACCAACAGACAUAGCCGAACUCAUCAACUUGCGCCUCCUCGACCUUGUUGGCACUCCCUUGGUACAGAUGCCGCUAGGAAUAAGAAAGCUGAGAAGCUUGCAGAAGUUAUCUAAUUUUGUUGUAGGAAGGCUGAGCGGAGCCGGACUGCAUGAGCUCAAAGAACUUUCUGAUCUCCGAGGGACUCUUCGCAUCUCUGAGCUACAAAAUGUGGCCUUCGCCUCAGAAGCAAAAGACGCUGGUUUGAAAAGAAAGCAAUUGCUUGAUGGGUUAAUACUGAAGUGGACUGUGAAAGCUUCUAGCUUCGCCCCUGGUAGUCUUAGUACAUUGUCUUGUGACCAGAAAGAGGUCCUGAAGAUGCUAGAACCUAACCCAAACUUGAAAACGUUCUGCAUUGAGUCUUAUCAGGGUUCAGAAUUUCCUAAAUGGUUGGGUGAUUCUUCAUUCAAUAGUAUUGCAUCUGUCACUCUCAGUAGCUGCAACCUCUGCAUAUCACUACCUCCCCUUGGGCAGCUGCCUUCACUCAAGUACCUCAGCAUUGAGAAAUUUAACAUUCUGCUGAAGGUUGGUCUAGACUUCUUCUUCGGUGACAACACCUCUAGCUUUGUACCGUUUCAAUCCUUGCAAACUCUGAAAUUCUAUGCGAUGCCGAGAUGGGAAGAAUGGACUUGUCCAGAACUAGAAGAUGGGAUCUUCCCUUGUCUCCAGAAACUAAUGAUAGAAAAAUGCCCCCGCUUAAGGAAAAAAUUUCCAGAAGGACUCCCUUCUUCAACUGAAGUCGCCAUCUCUGAUUGCCCCCUAAGAGCAGUUGGUGGGGGAGAAGGUUCCUCCCCAGGGAAUAUCAGCAUAACGGAACCACCACCUUCCCCUGCAGAGAGUCCAACGUUGGAUGCGAAUCCAAGUUCUCAAUCAGAUAUAGGUACAAGUAGUCAGAGUAAUGAUGACACUGAAGUAACUUCAACAUCAAGCAUGUCUUCUUUGCCAAAAAACCAUCCACUAUCAGAAGAGAUGGACCAGUAUAUAACUCAGCUUGAAAGCUCACAUCAGCAUAUUGAAGAACCUGCUGUGAUAUCUGCAAGGUUCUCAGAACUCAUCUCCUCCGCUGAUCUCAGCUCCAUACUGUCACAAUCACCACUUCGUCUAGAUCCCAAAAAUAGAGGCUUUGGUCACCCUGGAAGUAGUAGCAGCCAGAACCAGCCACAGCCACAAGAACAGCUGCUUGUUCCAAGUGGACCAUCUAGUGAUAACGGUAUAACCAGGCCUUCGCAAUCUAAUGAUGAAACAGACAUUGAAUACUUAAAAGUGACAGAUAUCUCUCACCUCAUGGAGCUUCCCCAGAACCUGCAGUCACUCCACAUCGACACCUGCGACGGACUAUCUUCUUUACCGGAAAGCCUCUCCGAAAGCCACCCAAAUCUCCACGAACUCCUCCUCGUCGCCUGUCACUCACUAGAAUCCUUCCCUCCAACCACAUUAAAAACACUCUACAUAAGAGACUGCAAGAAACUCAACUUCCAAGAAAGCCUACAACCAACGCGCAGCUACUCACAGCUAGAGCACCUCUCCAUCGAAACCAGCUGCAGCAACAACCUCAUCACCUUCCCUCUAUCCCUCUUCCCAAAGCUCAAAUCCCUCUCAAUCACAGCCUGCGAAAGCUUCAGAACCUUCUCCAUCCACGCCGGACUCGGAGACGACCGAAUCGCACUCAAAUCCCUAGAAAUCAGAGAUUGCCCAAACCUAACAACCUUCCCGCCCGGAGGCCUCCCGACGCCGAAGCUCUCUUCGAUCCUCCUCUCAAACUGCGAGAACCUCCGAGCGUUACCGGAGAAGCUCUUCGGCCUCACGUCUCUCCAAUCGCUCUUCGUAAUCAAAUGCCCAAAGCUCGAUUCCAUCCCCGGCGGAGGCUUCCCGAGCAAUCUCCGAACGCUCUGCAUCAACCUCUGCCCCAAGCUGACGCCGCGGAUCGAAUGGGGGUUGCGAGAUCUAGAGAAUCUUCGGAAUCUCGAGAUCGAAGGAGGUAACGAAGACAUCGAAUCGUUUCCUGACGAAGGAUUGCUGCCGAGAGGGCUAUUUUCUCUGAGGAUAAGCCGAUUCGAGAAUCUCAGUACGUUGAAUCGGUUAGGGUUUCGAGAUACGAAGGGUUUGGAGACGAUGGAGAUCGACGGCUGUGAUAAGCUGAGGAUAUCGAUGGAGGAGGAUCUUCCUGCUUCCUUGUCGUGUUUGCGGAUAAGCUCUUGUUCGUUGUUGAGCGAGAAACUUGCUGAGGAAGGAAGAGAGUGCGUCUUUAGUAUUCCGUAUGUGGAAAUAGACGGCGAGAUCUUCUCUUGAGGAAAUGUUUUUUUAUGUAAAAGUUUAGAUACUAGUGACCUAACUUGAUGCGCACGACUUGUGAAAAUAUAAGAACUUUUAAAAGAAAAUGCUCCAAAAGACAGAGAUGAUGAAAUAGAGAGAAGUAUCUCAGAACCUAACAAGAACACUCCAAAUUCGGAAGCAGGAACAUAGUGUUUCCAGCUACUAGCAUAAGUGGAGAUAAGUGUUCUAAAACUUAAAAGAUAACGAAAGAAAUAAAGUUGCUGAAGGGAACAAAAUGUUUGCAAUCAUCUCUCUAGUUUGUAGAUGGUGGUCGAGUGAUUCGUGGCCUUACUGGUGUCUUUGAUGGACUUACCCUGAAAAGAGAGAAGAAAAUUGAGUCAAAUAUUGAUCCAACUGAGAUAGUUUAAAAAAGAAAAAGAAAAAAAAGCUUUUACUACAUUGCAUUGAUGAAGUUUUUACCUUAUGGGUUGGGAUCCAACAACCAUCCCGCUGCAAUUGAGCGCCCUAGUUGCACUAUCCGCCUGUUCGUUUGAAAAUAAAACAAAUAUAAGUUUCUGAAGUUGCAUGUGAAUACAAGUUCAAGCAUGUCAAAGGGAAUAGACUUGCAAUGUGAUAAGCAACACCCAUGAAGAAAAUUUACCCUUGGUGGAUAGAUAAAGACCUUACCAGAGCAAACUCAACAAAAGCAAUGCGAGUUGAAUGCAGUUGAUCGCCAAGAAGCCUUAGACGAGUUACCUGCAUAUAUUUGGAAAACAACUUAUGCAUCAUCACUCCUUAAAAUAAAAUUUUCAGGUCAUUUAACAACUUAUAAGGAGAGAGAGACAGAGAGGACGAAAGAUUAAGGUCUAGGUUAUGUUCUGACCUCACCACAUGCUGACUCAAAGAAGUUUCUCAUGUCAGCUUGAGAAACCUGCAGUUUACGAAAAUAUAUAUAUAUUAAACCAGGAAAUACUAGAAAUAAAAACAUGUUUUUCCCAAAAUGGUCAGCAUUUUCACCUUUUUGUCAAUGUUUGUGCAAUAGAUUGUCCUUGAACACAUCUCCCUUUCAUCUUCAGACUGCAUCAAACACCAAACAUAGUAGAUAUCAAAGUAAAUUCAAAACUGGAAACUCAAACCAUAUUUAACUAAUGGAACAUUUGAGCUUUACCCUUGGAAGAAAUGUGGGAUUCACGGGAAGAAUAGCAGUUUUUGAGGGUAAGACCCUCACAGGGUAGUACCCCAACAUCGUUCCACCAAGGCUUAAAGCUUCAUGUGCCCCCUCUAUGGAAACCAUUUUACAAUGUAAGUGGUCACUAUGGGACAACCAGUGACAUGGAAACUUUUUGUUAUUGCAUUUUAAGAUUCUAGAAGCCAAACUUACGGUCAUCAGCAAACUCCACAAACGCAAAUCGAAGAACUGAAUGUGGAUCCCCACAAAUUCGACAGUCAACAACCUUCACAAAAGAAGAACUCACCGAGUUAUAUCACAUACCACCAAAGAAACAUAUAAGAUCAUAAAACGUAAUUAUUUGCAGUAAUAUUUAGCACAUAAUCACAUAUAGGCUUUAAAAGCUCAUUAACAAAAAAAAAAAAAACUCUCAAUCAACCAUUUUUAUAGACUCAAUAACUUCGUCUAAACUAAUCACAUUGUCCAUAAACCACAAAGGGGUAAAAGAUAAAACAAGCAUUUAAAGCUUAAGGGAUCAUUCUUACUUGUCCACAGUUACUAAACAAAGCAGCAAGACCCUCCUCAGUCACCUAUAUCACAAACCAGCUUUACAUUACACUGAUACAAAUUAACUCGAAUUCUUUGUAUAACCAUCAGAAGACAAUUAAAAAAAAACUUACACUCUGGUCAAUGUCAGAAACAUACACUGUUCUCCUAAUACUAUCCUCUCUCUGAGCUUUUGAAAUUCUUCCAGUCAACCUCUUCCUCCCUUGGCUAUAAUUGUUUCUUUUCUGUAAUCACAAAACAGAAUAAAAAAAAUGUUUGCACAAAACAAACCUCUUCAACCAAAGUUUACAGAUUUACAACAACAAAAAGUAAGCAGAUCAAUCUAAGAUUAUCUAAUCAUAAUUUAUUUUUUUAAAAGAAUGUUUCAGAUUAUACCUUCCGGUUAUUGUCAUCCUUCUUUCCAUCAGAAUCAAAUUCUUCACCAGAUUGCUUCUUAGCCGUUGGUAAAUCGUCAUCAACGGACAGCAAUUGGUUACCUUCUGUAGUUUCACCAUUCUUCUUGGGACUGUAGUAAGAGGGAAAAAACUCCUUAGCCAAAGGAUUCAGUUUCUUGAACAUAGCCACCAGCUUUUGCAUAUCUAACUCGGAUUCAGGUUUGAGCUCGGACUCUGUCUCGGGUUCCAAGCCCGUGCUCUUCUCAGUUUUGUCAUCGAUGAUCUUUUCAGCAUCUUUCUUGAUACAUAUCUCAUGAACAUCUUUGACAACAACAUCAGUGGGAUCCUCAGUGAUGUCAGCCAUUGGAUCAAAUGAUGAUGAUGAACGGCCAAAAGUUCUCCUUAAUAAGAAUUAACACUUUACAGAAAAUGAUGAUCAAAAUAUAAAAAUGUUAUUAUUAAUGAAACUCCACCAAAUUAACGUAAGCAAACGCAAGAGUGCAUGAUCUGUUAGAUAUUAUAUGGAUCAGAAGGUGAGACAAAAAUGUACUAAUCAGCUCAUUGAGAGACAGAGUUUGCAAUUACAGAAAGAGAAACUUUUCUCUGUUGUGUGGUUAUGGCAAUGAGCAAAGGGAGGAGAUUGGAAGUAAAAAAGAAAAGAAUGAUGAGACUUUUUUUGCUUCCGUUUUGGCCGCUCUCUGUUUUGGCCUUUUCUACGUGUUACAAAGAUGCUAAAUUUCAUAAAUGCUUUUUUUUUUAUUUCUUGUGAGGACUCAUAUUUUAAUUGUCUUUGCAGCCCUGUAUUUUCUUUUUCUUUGUAAAAAGGUCUUUUAGUUUAUGAUUCUCUCAAAUUUCGAUGUAAUUCGAGUCAAUUUAAAUUGAUAUUUUAUUGUGUAAGGAAUCAUAUAAAGUGACGAAAUGGACCACCAGCUUUUAUUUUUAUUCCAUUUUCUGAUUAUAUUCUUCUUCUUUAUUUUCUUUUAUAGUUCCAUUCUGUUGUUCCACAUUUUUGCAUUUAAAAAAAAAAAAUUUGUGUCGUAGACUUGUUAAAUAACUAAUAAGUCCGUUGCCUGCUACUACUGCUGCAUAAAUCUUUGAGUUUGUUAGGAUUUCAUUUUCUCUUUUGAUAAGUUUCGUGUCUGGUCUCCCUCUCCAGUAUUUUUAAAAUUAAUUUAUAUGUUUAAUUGUGAAAGAAUAUAACAAAAAAUCUAUUAUUCAGCAACAGAAUCCACCGUCUUCGCGGUGAGUUUAUAAAUGUUUAUGUAGUUUAAAAUUCCAUGAUUUUUCUUUAACAAAACAAAAAGAAAAAAACUUCGUUGUGAGUUUGUAAAACUUGUUGGCUACAUUUGCCGACAAGAGAUGAAAUUUGUCAUAAUUAUUAAAAAUAUUAUAUUUUUUGUUUGUAAAACGUGUUGUGUAAACAAUGUUAUCAUGUUUGUUUGACUGCACAAGGAUAUGUUAUUACAACUUUGCAAAUAAUAGAUGGUUAUAACGAGACACUAUUAAAUUUAGUUUAAGAAAUAAAAAUGGCAGGUCAACUUUGAUAAGGUACCAACUUGUAUUUUAUGAUUGAAAACAUUUAGCACGUUUUCCCCCGGCUGCGAACAAACGACGCGACAUGUCACAACACUAGUAGGAUCGUCCUUCAAAGAUACGAUUACGCGCUUUGUGCGAGCCUGACUCUACCCAUUUUUCCGGCACUUCCAACGUUUCAGGCCCAUCUAGACCCAUCGGUGUUUCUACGAAACUCAAUAUGAACAAGGAACUUACUAUAUAUAUGCAGGAUUUUAAUAGUUGGGCCUAACGAUAUGUACAUCGGCCAUUUCCCACAACAACGUCGUGUUAUCGACUAAUUGACAAACAACAAACAAGUAUUGUCGCAAGUUGUUGCGGGAUUAUAUUACAGGGCGGAGAGGGAUUAAAUCAAAUAUGAAAAUUCUUAAACAUAAAUUUUUUACUUUAUUUUUUGAGUUAAUUUGCUGAAUAUACUAAAAAGGGGUGAGAUACCAUAGAAUGGGGGAAAAAUGGUAAUGAUAGGAGAAAGAAAAUUGAAGGGAUAUAGUGUGUGGAGUGCAAAUAUGAGAUAUUUGUUGUGUAGGGAAUACAAAUUCUCUUAUUUUUUCGAUAAACCCUAUCGGCUGAUUCAAUCGAUUUUGAAAGGAACGCACUUAAAACUAGUGAUUACAAUGGCUCAUCAAUAAAAAUUACAUCCACCAACAGUUUCAAUGUUUCAUUUAAGAAGUUGUAACUAUCCAUCAAACACUUGCAAUGAUUCACUUAAACAGUUACAAAAAUUCACUUAAAUUGCUAACAAUUCUCUCUCUAAUUUACGUGUACUAAUGAUUCACUAAAUAUUGAAAGCACUGUGGUCUAGUGGUAAAGGUUUAAAGGCUUAUACACCCCGGUCUGGGGUUCAAACCUCAGAUAACGUAAUUUCUACAGGAAGAGGUUUGGGCUUCAAUUCCCGGAGAAGGCGAAUUAUACAAAAAAUUAGAGAAAAAAUGCUUACAAGAGAUCUUCAGCAUGGCGCAAGGAGUACCGUCAGGAAUGGAUCUCAUAGAGCUAUUCAGAGUGAUGCAGUGAAGCGUGAAUCUUCAUAAAACAGGUAGAAUUGUCGGUUGUAAUAUCAUCUAUGUAAUGGUUCUCAUAAUUUGUAAUAGCAUAAUUAACCAGACAAAAAAAAAUGAUUCACUAAAAAAAUAGCACAUACAACAAACUGAUGCAUAAAAAUGUUUUAACCAUACAAUUAUUAACAUGAAAACACAUGAAAAAAUAUGUUGUUAGGAUGAUAAGACACAUUUUUAGUUAUGAAAUUCAUGAGAAGACACGUUCCUGGAUGAUAAUAUUUAUACAUAAAACAUUUACUAACUGCUUGAAUACCAAAACAAGUUUUAUAAUAAAUGUACACAUGUUAGACAGUGCAUAACUCCUAAAACCCUACACAAUUAAUUGGACAACUAGAUUUUGACCCGCGCUUCAAAAACGCAGAUUAUUUUGGAUUGUAUACAAAAUUUGUGAAUUAAUAUUUUGAAAUUGUUUUAUAUUAUUAUGUUACAAAAUCAUAUGAUAUCGAAUAAGAUAAUUUGUUUACCUUAUAUAAUUCAUGAAUUUGUUUAUUUAAAAUUUGUAUGUACACUUACAAACUCUCCCUUGGACAUGAAUAUUUUACCAAAUUCGGAAAACCAAAUUGAAAUAGACCUGGAAAUAUAGGUGCAGUUUGGGUCCAGGUUUACAUAUUAAAUUUUUGGAUCCGCAUGUCUCUUUUCGAGUCCAAAUCAUACCCUUUACCUGAUCGGAUACCCAAGUGCCUAAAAUGUUUUGUGUAUAUUAGGUAUAUUUGAGUAUUUUAUAUAUGUUUUAGUAUUACAAAUAUUGUUUAAGUUUUGUGUUCAGGUUUUCGAUUUUAGUUUCGGGAUUUGGGUAAAAAUUUCAAUUUAUUUUAAAAAAUAUUUUGGGUAUUCGGAAAAUUAGCUUUUUUAAUUUCUCGGAUCAUAACGGAUCGGUUCAUUUUGGAUCUUUUUGGAUAUUUCAAUAUUUUCGAGUAUUUGUUUGGGGGGAAGGGGGGGGGGGGUUUGGCAAUUUCAAAUCUUUUUGGUGUCCUAAAUAAUCAAACCAAUCCAAAUCUGAUACGUACCCAAAUAGUACAUUGAUUUUAUAGAUAUUUGAAUUAUGGAUUCAAACCGACCCGGAUCCAAAAGGAACCAACCCAAGCUUGAACCAAAAAAAUACUUAGUUAUGUUCAAAAUGUCUGAACCCAAAAUAAAAUGAUCCGUACCUACCCCAAAACCCGAUGCUCAGACCUAUUCUCUUUCACUAACUUUUGUGUGUAUUUUAAAAUGUUAUAUUUGCUGAAUUGAUGAGACUUAAGAGUUAUUUGACAUAUUUUUGGCUAAGUUAAUAGUAUAAAUUUGUAAGGUUUUUAAUAGUUUUAAACUUAUUUUAAAUAACAAAUUUUAUUAUAAAUGAUUUUUAUAAAAAGUUAAUUUAAAGUAAAAGAAAAUAUAAUUUUGUUUUUAACAGAUGGUUUGAUUUAUUAAAUUUAAUUUUGCAAAAAUUUGGAACUAUGUGAUGCGUUACAGAUAUUGUUCUACUAUACUAAUAAUAUAUUAAGUUGAUCUACCACUAAACUUGAUAUAAGUUUGGGUGUGGCAUAUGUCCGUUGCAUGUCAUAGAUAUUAUUCUACUAUACUAAAUAGUAUGUUAUAUAAAAUAAAUGUUAUAUGUCAUGAAGAAGGUGAUUAAUUAGUUGUAGUUGUUAUAUAUAUUGUAGUUGAACAUGUCAUUAUCAUAUUAUUUCACACGUACAAAUAUAUAGUGUAACCGUAGAUUUAGUUAUUAAAGAUAGAGAUAAGAGUCCAAUAUAUAAGGGAUGAAAAAUAAAGUUGUAAUAUAUUGUAACAGAUAAAAUAUGGAGAAUAAUAAAAUUUUAUUUGAUUGCUAUAAGAUAGGUUAUAGUUAUAAGAUUUGGUUAUAUAUAAUAGGUUGAACUAAAAAAUGAAAGGGUCCAAACAACUUUUUAAGUAGAUUUAUUAAAACUCUUUCUCUUUUAAUAGUAUUGAUUAUGGGAUUAUAUAUAUAUAGACAUUUAAAAACUUCUAAGAGCCUAUUCUUUUAAAGAUGAAAAGACACAUAAUAAAAGAGAUAUUCUAAAAAAUUAAAUAAACCUCUUGCAAUAUUAUAAUUUUUAUAAUGAAAAAACACAUUUUAAAUAAUUUCAACACUCUCAUAAAAAAUAGGAACGAAUCUAGAGAUAAACUAUAUUGACUACAUUAAGAAUUUUCUAUAAUUAUAUAUUAAUUCAUGUGAUUUAUCUUAGAAAAAGUGUUCUCUACAUAAAUCACUAUUGCUUAAGAACUAUUAAAUUUUAAGAUAAAAAGAUACAUCAUUAUAAAAUAUACAUUUUAACAUUUUCUUGUUAACAAAUGCAAUUAUUAGAAUAAAACACACAUGCUUAUACAUUUAAAAAUCAUUUUAAAAAUUUAAUAUAAUUAUUAAAAUAUAAAACACGUUGUGAAGAUGAAAGUGUGCAUACUUAUAUAUUUUGCUAACUUUUAAAAAAUAAAUGCAACUUUUAAGAUGAAAAACACAUAGCCUUGUUCUUUUAGAAGACGUGUUGCGUCUUACAGCUUAAUUAUAACUGCUUUCUCGUCAGCGUCUGGACAUAAACACCGGUAGCUGUUUUUUGCCUAUCAAAAAUAGUUGCAGCGUCAACAUAAAUACCGCCACUUUUAACAGCGUCGUUGACGACACCAAAAACUUUCUGCAAAAAUAAUGACAGCGUCAACUUAAUUAAAUUUUCCAUCGUUUUUUGUUUAGUUUUUGAUCGGUGCAGCUGACGCCGCGCGUCUUCAAAAAGUAUAUAAAGAUGAAAACCUUUAACAUUAGAUAAAUAAUAACUUAGUUUCUGUAAAUAAUAGUAUUUAUACCGACGAAUUUACAUAGUCUACACUGCCAUCGCUUUUGAAAACGUUUUAAAUAGUGAAAAAUCUAUUUUUAUGAGUUUCGGAAUUUAGUGAAGAUAAGAUGUCACACAUUAAUAAAUAUAUAUUCGAAUAUAUAACAUUGCAAGUUUUCAAUUUUUAUAAAAUAGUUAUCCGACUAAUCAAGCUCACUAUAAGUUAAUGAAAAUAUUAAAGUAUAUUCAUAUGGAAUUUUCUUAAAUAAUUUUAAUAAUAACGAAGAUAGGAUUCACGUGUUCUUUAUACUAUUUAAAAUUUAAAAUCUUAUCCCACCCAAAAUACAAUAAGGAAACACAAUUUGAUACUUGUAAACUCUAACAUACUGUAAUUCGAUCAAGGAAGUAACGUUUCAUAAUUCAUAUGCAUCAAUAAGCAAAUGUAAGCUAAAUGGUACUUUUGUUUUCUAUGAAACUGUAAAUAAAUAGUUUGGGUUAAACCGAUAAUUAGAGAAGAUGUCAUAUUAAAGGAUUCCGUUUAUCACAUAAUUAAAAGAAAAAAAGCAAUCAAAAGUUUCAACUCAUCGAGUGCGGUCGGUUUAAGCACUUGGAUUGACCGUUAUAAACGCGUCAAAUCUUGCCACGUGAUUGUAUUUUCCAUGGUGACUUGGUGAGACGGACACGUUUUCGUCACCGUGUCUUUUUCUAUCGGAACGAUGAUGUGUCUUUUAACUAACGGUAUCGUACAUAUGGCGGCAGUUUUGAACCUUCAUUUAAAAAAAUCUUUUAUUCUUAGUUAAUGGGCUAUUCAAUCACCAUAUGUAAAAUGCCCUUUUCGUCAACUUUCGGUUUUCCCGCGCUAAAGUGAUGUUACUUAUAUCUAAAUAAAAUCAGGAUGUACACUUAAUGUUUGUUCAUAAUUAUCCAUAUAACGUAAUUGUUAAAAAGUAUAUUAAUUUGUGUCAUCUUAUUUUGAGAUCGUCUCAAAAUAUGUUUUUUCUCCUCCAGUAUAUAGGAAUAAUUAUACUAAGUACUGUAUUAUUUAUUUCGAAAUAGUCUUUAUCUUAUUUAUUUUUCCUGUAACUUGGAAUCUUUACUCAUCUUAAAAUAGGUAGAUAUUCAACGGCAUGCAUUGAUUGGACAAGUUGAAUGCAAAUAUAUUUUUAAAAUAGUUAAAACAAGAAGAAGAUAUAUGGAGUGGGACAGAAAGAAAAGGAAGUUUGAUUGGAAGAGAGCUAUUAAAAUGAAAGGAGUGCAUGAAUCAAUGGAAAGUGAGGUAGUGAAUGUCUAUAUCUGUUAUUUUACGAACUUUCUUUAAUCAUAACUUAUUUUGUCAUCUCUCUAUAAGAAAAGUCGAAACAAUGCGGAGGUUAUGUUCGUUUAUAUUUGUUAACAAAGGAAAAAUAACUAUAUGUAUAGUAGUAAUUAAUAAAGGAUCCAGUAGAAACUAAAGUCCUCUGAAACAAAAUUAGCCGAAUCCAAAAAGAGAUCUAUUUGUUUGAUUGAUAUAGUUACAAGCUCUUAUACCACUAAUGUAUUCAAUCAACUAAACAUACUGGCUUUUGUAUGCUUAUAUCAUUUUUAUCAUUUCUUUCGGUAGUUUGUUUUCGAUACUUUUAUGUUUAGUUUUAGUUAGAAUGAAAAACUAUCAUUGAUUCUAUCAUAUUGAAUGCAUAGUCAUUCCUAAAUAUAGACUAAUGAAAGUUAUGAAACAUUAGCCUAUGGCUCCUAAAUUUUAAUAUCAGCUGUGAUUUGGAUGGGGUGUCCAUCUCUGGUCCAGAAGGGGUUCUCCAUAAAAAAAAGUGUUAAAAUACAAUCUUAUAUUUGAGAAAAAAAUGAUAUUAUCACAUGCCUUAUUUCUUAUAUAAAAGAUAAGUAAUAAACGAGUCUAACACAUGAAAUCUGUUGUAUAAAUUAAUUGGUUGUUUAUCUGGAUUUAGAAAUAACAUAACUGUUGUUUGGCAACAAAUUAAAAAAAAAACACAAAACGGAGAUCCACACUCGAAAAUGUUCGAUUCCACUUGACUUUAAGAAUUUGACGUUGGACAAAAAGUUUAUGGAGAUAUAAAAUAUAACAAUUAAGCCAAAAUAUCUAACAAAAGUGAUUUGUAACUCAAAUAGAAACAACACACAUGUCUUUUGAUGUGAAUAAAGUAAUAAACAAUGGUCUAGAUAUUUAUUCGCUUGUUUGAAGCUACGUUUAAAGAUGUAGAUUGUUGGGGGCAUUGAAGAAAAGAAACAAUACAAGUCAGUGAAAUUAGGAGCCAAGCCCACCCACCCCACAAAAGCAGAAAAAAACACCCAAGGAAAAACAGCAUUUUUUUGUUUCGCUGAUAGUAGUCCUGUGACUUUUAACUGGAACCGUUUAUCCGAACCGGAUCCGACCCGAAAUGGACUGGUUCGGGACGGUUUUGGUUUUCAUCAAUUUAUCCGAUGAAUAAUUAUAUAAACUAGAUUAAGAUCCGCGCUUUGCGCGGAAUGAACAUUAUAUAUAUAAAUUAUUUAAUGUAUUAUAUGUUCUAACAUAUUAUAAAAUAAUAAAUAUAUAUUAAAUAAUCAAAAAUCAGUAACUAUUACAUAUAUAAUUAAAUUGAUACGAACAUAUAAAUCAAUUUUAUUAAUCCAAACAAUAUUUUUUUAUUUGAUAGGAUAUAUAAUUAGAUUUAAAUGAAAUUCAUAUUCAUAGUACAUUUUAAUAUUAAUGUCUAUUAAAUAAUGUUUUCUACUCAUAUGGCUUUUUGUCAUUUGUAUCUUUUAUACCAAAAAUUUAAAUUAUUGAUAACAAAAUUUUCACUGAUUCAUAGUCUUAGUAAUUUAUAAUUUUUUAAAAAAUUAAGUUGUCAAUGUGUGUUCAAAGCUUUUAUUAAAAAAAAAUUGUUCAAAGUAAAUUUUGAAAUUUAAAUAUUUAUGUAUUUUAUAUGAUAUAUAAUUUAAUCUAAAAUUAUAUAUAUAUAUAUAUAUAUAUAUAUCUUCUAAUCUUAAUAAUUAAUUAAAUUAAACUUUUUACUUAUAUGAUUUUGUAAUCAUUUGUAUUUUGUCAUAAAAAAAAAUAAAACAUGGAUCACAAAAUUUGAAUGUGAGACUUUUAACAGUUUUAGUAAUUUAUAGUCGUUUUUAAAAAUUCAAAAUAUAACAUAUACAGAAAAAUCUAAUUUUUUAUUAUAUAGUUAAUGUGGUUGUUUAAUUAAUUUUAGUAGUUUAAAAUUAAACAAAUAUGAUAGAAGAUACACUAAUUUUUAUCAAAUCUUUAUUAUUCAAAAUCAUUAAUUGCCAUAUAUACUUUAGCCACAUUAGACAAUUUUGUAACUUUUAUUUAGUGAAAUAAUAAAGAACAUUAAUAAUGAAUUUAUGGUUAGUCUAAUAAAAAACUUAUUAUAUAAAUAGAUGGACCAACAUGUUUUUCUAAUGAUUUUAAGAAUCAUCCUAGUGAUGACAUGUAGUUACAAAUAAAAGUUGUAAUGUUUUUCAAUUAAUAUAUAGGGGAUAACCACGGAUAUCAAGUCAUGUUCGGUUCUGGUUUUUACCCGGAACCGAACGGAUAUUCGUUUUAAAUCGGAUUCUGUGUAAAACACACAGAAUUGAAUCUUGUGGGCGUUGAACCCGGGUUAAAAAGGGACAUAACACUUGCAAUUCCACUGGGAUACACCAACUUUUUGUAAUUCCCACAUAUUACUAUUAUAUAUUUGAUUUCAAUUUAUUUUAUUUUCUAAAUAUAAAAAGAUAAAAAUAGAUAAAAAAUAUUAAAAAAUAUUAUUUCGGGUUCUGAAUUGUAUAUUUGAACCGACCCAGCCGAAAGUCAACCAAGUACUCAUUAGAUACAGUUUCUAAAUAACCGAUUUAUCUGGAACCAAACUGUUUUUAUCCGAAACCGAUCCGAAUAUUCGAAAUUCCAACCCUAGGUGAUAGUAUACUUAAGAAGAAAAUCUACACAUGGUCACAAUAACCGAAUUAUCAUAUUUGAAAAACAAAUAUAUAAUUUAAUUUUCCCUUUCCAACUAAAUAUAACUGUAUAUAUAUAUGAUACAAAACAUCAUGUUAAAAAGGAAUAACUCUUAAACUAUAAGCUUUAUCAACAGUUUUUUUAAGUAAUUUUGUAAUUUGAAAACAAUUAAACCGUAUCAUAAGAAAAAUAGUCUAUAAUUAUUCAGAUAGUCUGAUUAAGUACACCGAACCAUAGAAUACAAAAGAUCAAAAAGGAAAUAAGAAAAAAGUUUACAAAGAUAAGGCUCCUCUAAAUACUAUAUUAGGCCAAACAAAGGAAUAUUACAUACUAACUCUAUAAGUCAGUCACUCUUGGCUAGCUACGAAUAAACUAACGACACCUUAGCUUUUGGAGAAUGUAGCCUGAAGAUCUUAAUUUUGUCACAUCUCUUAUAGUUUGGUUGCUCACGCAUACAAAAAGUUAAAUCAGUUAUACACAUUCUACUUAUAUUUUGAUUGAACGGGUUUUACGAUAAGGCAAUUCCAAUCAAAUUAAAGAGUGUCAACAAGGUUCAAAAUCGAAUUUUGAAAACUGUUUUUUUAAUCUAAGGAACUUUAUUAAAGAAGCAAUAUAUACAAUAAACAACGAAGACCGAAUUAAGCCAUAAAGAGAACAUGGAUCAAUUAUGACCUGCAAUAGAGUCCCGUGUUGAUCAUAAUACCAUUCGAGGCUUGUUCCAAAUCUUUCAUUCCGCACAACUUGAACACGAGACGGGCUUCAGUCACAUAUUUAAACCAGUUUUUUUCCAGUAUAUACAUUAAACGGUUCUUUGAACUUGCAAAAAGACCCGUUCCAAACUAAUUCUGAUUAAAAGACCAGAUUUUCUUACACCUUACAGCGUUUAGAAUAAUUUUUUAAAAAAAAAUAGAAAGGAGUGGAAGUUAUGUAUUAUCUUGAUUAAUGUUAACGCUGCUACUAUUAUAAAUAAUUGUUAUUAGUGACAUCUACAAGUAAUGCACAAAAACCUUGUGGUUCAAAACAUUGCGCUCGUCCCCCAGCAUUAACCGAAAGUAUUAAAUAAAAAGUAAAGUUAGGUAUAAGUGUUGUUUGAGUAAAAUUACAAAAUCAGGAACUAACUAAUAAAUUAUUUCGAUGAUGUUUUGUGACUCUUGAAGUGAACGCGGUUUCGAGUGAGGUACCUAGCUCACCAUGCAUAUCUCUAGAAAAACAACGAUUCGACGGUGGGAAUAUCUUUUAAAAUAGAGAUGAUAUAGUGAUUUAUAGUAACUGACCAACACCGACUUACUAAUAUACUAUUAUUCAUUUUAGCCAUUUCAGACAAAGGAUAUUGAAUGAUAAUAUACUUAGUAGUAGCCUGUAGCCAUUUACUAAUUAUUUGCCGACAUUUAGAUUUUGUUUUUAGAAAGAAAUUGUGACAAUCCCUUCUGUAGUAACUAUUUGUUGGUAACAAUUUAUUUUGGAGGAAUGUUAUUAAAGGGUGAAGUCAUAGGUUCGAGACUCACCAACAACCUAAUUAUGAAGUCAAAGAGAACUCGUAAUGAAGAGUUGAGGUAAGUGCGCUGCAGCGAUGUGAAUCUAGGGCCCACGGGACGGGUUGUCACAGAAAUAAUGAAAGCAAAUUAUUUGUAUUUUUCGUUCUCGUACUUGUGGAGUUGUGGUCGUAUUUACUAAUUUCCGCAACGGUAAAAGUGAGUAAAUUCUCUUUUCUUAAAAGAUGCAGUAAUUUGUGUUUUUGUGUAACAAGGCUUGGAUUCGCAUGUUUUAUUUGUCGACUACCUUAGAGCAUCAUUAACUCAAAAACCCAUUUUAGGUCUUUUAAUUAUUUUUAAGUAUUAAAUGUUACUUAAAAGACCUAGUUAAGAGACACCAAUAUUUCUGUGCUCCAAUGAAAAUAUCUUAUUUGGGGGUUCUUAAAAAAAAUAGAAAAUAUGGAGUGUAACAGAAAUAUUGUUACCUCUAGGCUUGAAUCCAUAAUCAAUCUUUUCUGAGGUUUUUCCAUACGAAGGAGCAGGAACUGGGACGGAGGAGCCAUUGAAAUAAAAACCAUCAUCGAGGUCUUCUCCACUAGGCUGUUUAGCUUCUCACCACGGGCUAGAACGCUAUAAAUAGUUUUAUGCUGUAACAAAGAAAAUAUUCAGAGUUUUGGAGAAACGACAAACAUCUACGAUAUCUGCAAGACUUUCUCGUUUUGAAGUUGCAGAAGAAACGAAGCUCAUUGAUAGAACAUCGUACUAUUUAGGGACAUAAACUUAGGCAAAGAGAGAGUGCACUUACAAGGAUAAUGUUGGUCUCAUCCAACUCCCUCUGGAUUUUCAACAGCUUAUCAGCCUCUACUGGGUCCUGAAGAUCACAAAUACAGGGGAAGAACAGAAGAACUUUAGACCGAAUAUCACUGUACAAAACCUACACAAUAUCAAAUUAAACUAGUUAAAGAAAAAACACUGUAAAGUUGGAUUCUUUGUUAUAUCCAAUCAAUACAGCUAAUUAAUACUGACAAUGUUUUUAAACAAGUUCCACAUGAAAGAAUAGAGUUGCAAACCUGAAAUUUGGUAAGAGCAUUGUCCAAGUAUGGCCAAGGCUGAACAGUCUUCUUUAGCAGACUUCCAUGUCUAACCAAAACUUUUAUGGUACUCAUCUAUAACCUGACAAGUAAUUGAUUUGUCAAAUAUAUUUCCUCAUGUUCUGAUACAACCAAAUUACACAAAGGGGUGAAUUUUGAAGACUUGGUCGAGCACAGAAAAGGCAGUACGAGCAAGGUAAUGAUCGUCCACGAAUCCCACCGCGCAAAGACCUGAUCGAGCAAAGAAAAGGCACUACAAACUAGGUUAUUGCUUUUCCUGAAAAUUGAACCUAAGAACUAUGAAACAGAGCAGAUCAACCGAGCAGAGAAAAAGUACUACGAAAAUUAAACCUAAGAAAUCGCGCUGACUCACGAUUAUGCUCGGAAGCUCUUCUAUUACUCUGCCGCCUUUCCCGCUAUGAUUGGAUGCUCGAAUCUUCUUUCUCUCUGUCUCCGAUUGAGUUGACUCAAGUCAAAUCGGAACCCUAACACACAAAUGGAGGAAGAAGAGAAUGGGGGCGGAAGCAAGCUUGGGAGGAAUUUAUGAAGAGGAGAAUGGAGGAAGCAACCUAUUGUCUCAGCUUUGUUGUUGUUGCAGAGAGAAAAGGAGAAGCUCUAAGAGACGUCUUCUAUUCAGGAGAUAGAAGAACGGUCUUUUUUCUUAAUGGUUAUUUUUUUAAAUUCUAAUGAUGCUAAGAUACUCAGUUAAGAAACUGGGUUAAUGAUGCUCUUAGUACCUUUCGAUAUUUAUUCUUCCAAUAGCGUCAAAUAGUUACUGUAUACAAAUUGUAUAAUGCAUAAUACAAGUGUCCUUAUUUAGUGGAUUUUAGUAAAAUAAACAUAUUGCUGUUUUCCUACUAAUUUGUUGUUAUUCAACUGUUAGUUUUAUUUUCAUACCACGUAUUUUGCUCAUGUGUUAUUGAAUAAACCAAAAUUUAAAAGUUCAAUAUUCCCUUAGUUUUAUUUUAAUUGUUGUUUUAGAUUUAGACACACAUAUUAAUAAAAUAUUUCAUUUUGUAUAUUUACUAAAUAAAAAUAUAAUUACCAAUACAUCUAACCACAUUUCAACCAACAAAAAAAUAUAUUAUAAUAUAAAAUCAAUAAAUUUUGUAUUGAAAUUAUAAAACAACACUUAGUUUUGAAACAAAAUUUUUAUUUUAAAACGAUCUAUUCAACAUAUAAUUCAGUUCAACCCCCCUAAUCAUUAAUGGUCUUAUAAUGGAGCUAUGGUUAAUCAAACAUUAUUUUUACGAAAAAAAUGAUUCUGUUUUAUAAAAUUAUAUUAUAAAAGAUGAUACGAGUCAUAAUAUUCUUGAUAAAUUGACUUGCUAAUGCCUAUCACUAUAAGAGUUUUUCACCUCUAUUAAUUUGUACUGACAUGUUAUUGUAACAAACAAAUUAUGGAACGUCGAGCUUACUGUUUAAGGUUUCCGGAUGGAGUUAUUCUUAGGUCCACCUCCUAUAGUGAACCAGGUUCACCAACCAAUAAAAUUUUAUUAUUUUAAAUUUGAUAUUUUUUAAAAAAGAAAACAAAAUAUUAUCAAAUCAUAUUAUGUUUUUAAAAUAAAAAAAAUAAAAAAAAUAGUAGUUACAGAAAAAAAAUUAAAAAAAUAUUUAUAACGUCGUCAAGAAAACACUAAACCCUAAAUCCUAAACCCUAAUCAUCAAGUCUAAACCCUUGGGUAAACCCUAAACCCUUGGAUAAAUCCUAAACUCUAAAUAAAAAACUAAACACUAAAAACCUAAACCCUAAAUCCUAAACCCUAAAUCCUAAACCCUGAACCCUUGAGUGUUUUAGUGUUUAUUGAUUUUGAUUUAGAGUUUAGGAUUUAUCUAAGGGUUUAGAGUUUACCCAACUGUUUAGAAUUUAGGAUUUAGGGUUUAGAGAUUAUGAUUUAGGGUUUAGUAUUUUGCUGACGAUGUUAAAAAUAUUUUUUUUGUAAUUAGUACUAUUUUUUAACUUUUAAUUUUAAGAAGAUAAUAUAAUUUAAUAAUAUUAUGUUUUACUUUUUAAAAAAUAUUAAUUAUAAAUAACACAAUUUUAUUAGUUGAUGAACUUAGAGGUUCACCCUAAAAGAUGAACCAAAGAAUAAUUCUUCCGGAUAUGCAUAUCGAUAACAAUAGCAAGAUAGCAUCAACUCGAGUUCAUUAUCUUUUAAACAUUUGAACAAACUAAAAGGAAAUUGUUUGACUUGUAUAUCUUUUGGACAUUAAGACUUGUAUAUCUUAUCCGGAGAAGACAAUGACUAAAUUGUUCGAUGCUGUGAAAUUAAAAUGAUUAAAGUUAAAUACUAGUAUCAAUUAGAACUAGUGCUCUCUAUAAGUGCGUUGAACUUUUAGCAACUUUAGCGACUGAUGGAAAUAAUGUCGUUGCCUCGAAUAGCAAAGUUAGUUAAUACUAGUAAGCUAAUUAACUAAUUGAUGUUGAUAAAAUCUUCUUUUGGUAAUUUCAACUAAAAGCCUUUAUUUCCUUUUGACUAAUUUAACCCUGCAAAUGUGGAAGUCUAAUCACAGUUAAUAGUUCAAUACAUAUCGGUAAACAAAACAUAAUGAACCUGUGUACAGUGUGCAUAUACGCACAGCUACUUCAGGUGAUAUUCAGAUUUUUAUUAAUCAAUCUUACUGUUUUAAUAAUAAAAGCUGUAUAUCAACUAAAUACGUAAUUUUUGAUCAAUUAUGAAAGAUACAUUAAUAAUAAUUUAAUCAAUUAUGAAAGAAAUUUCAAACUGGUUUCCCUUUUUAUACAUUAUCUAUAUCAUUUGAGAAUGAUUUCUAAUUUUUAAAUUAAAUGAUUUAUAUUUUUACUCAAGAGUUUUUAAAUGGUGGUGGAGUUGGACUAUCUAAAUGGUUAUCUGGUAAUUAGCUAAAUACUUUGAACUCUUAAAUCUUUUUUUUUUGUUUAUAAAAUGGGGUUAAUGUAUCUCUGUGAUUUCAACGGCACAGACAACUUUCUUUCUAUUUGCAUGCAUGUAACCGAGACAUAAAAUGUCCGGGAUAGUGUGGUUGGGUGGUAAGGGGAAGGGGUUGGGAUACUAACAUAUUUCAAGUUCGAUCUAUCUAUUGCGCAAAACUAAGUCACAUUGUUACACGGAUAUGGGUUUAUGCUUUUGAGCCUAUUUGCAUAUCCGUUGAGAAGAUCUAUCCGUAGACUGCACUUCAAUUUAGAAAUUAGUUUAGACCCUUCCAUAAGUCCAAGAUACCCCAAAUUGAAAAAUGUCAUACCAUAAAUAUUUUCCAAAGAAAAAGACACGCGCACGAUAGCUAAGACACCUAAAGAUUAAUUUGAACCUUCCCAUAGAUCCAAGAUACCUCAAGUUGAAAAAUGUUAUAACAUAUAUUUUCCAAAGAAAAACACAUGUGCACGAUAGCCAGGGCCGUGCCUGAAUAAAAGCUGAUAAAGCAUAUGCUUGAGGGCCGGUGAAGAUAUUUAUUUUAAAGGGCCAAUAUUUUCAGAAAUCUUAUGUAGCUUAACUGGUUGUGUCAUUGGCUUGGGUGUAUACGUACCUAGGUUCGAUGCCUCACAGCUUCUUUUUCUUUGAAUUUUAACAGAUUAUUUAGAAAAAAUGGGCCAAAAAAACAUUUCUGCUUCAAGACCAAUAUAUCUCAGGCACGGCCCCGACGAUAGCUAAGACAGUGUUUGGAAUAGGACCCGAUAUUGUGGCCUUUUCUCUUCAACUCUUAGUAAUAAAAGACACUUGAUUUGUCACCUGCCAAACAUGUCUUCAAGUCUUUUCCCCGUGCUCCUCUCUCCAAGUUGGUUUUGGUCAAACUUCCAUUAUUGUCAUACCAACAUAUUUUGGCUCCAAUUAUUUCCAUUUGCAUAUAAACAUGUCAAAGAUUUAGAAAUUUUAUCCAUUUAAUAAUAAAAAUAAAAAAAUGAAACUGUAGACAUGGUAACCGAAUUUUAUUAGAUAUUAAGGUUCUUUUGAUUGAUAGCAUUACAAGGUGUUUUUAUCCACCAUGUGUAGCAAAAAAUAACUAAAACUAAAAUUAUAUUUUAAAUUAAAAUUUUGUUAAUAUUUUAGAUUUUAUUAUCUUAUACUAAUAUUUAAAUACAAAAAUUGAUUCAGUUAAACAUAAAAUUAAGAUAAAAUAAAUAAUUUGAUUUACUUUAAAUUAUAUUUAAUUUUAGAUAUGUAUAUAUUUAAAAUUAUAAUCUUAGAUAGAUUUUCAUUUACUUCUUUUGGUUAAAAUAUAUUAAAUCAACUUGUUGAAAAUAAAAAAAAUGAUAAAAUUGUAUAAAUAUCAAAAAUAAAACUAAACAGGAUUUAUAAAAUUUGUAUAUAGGAAAAAGAAACAAAUGGUAUUACCAUUAAAACUAUAAUUUUUUAAGAAGAUUGUAUAAAAUUUUAAAAACCUUGUUUAGUAAUAAAAAUGUAAGAUUAUAAAAAUAGACUUAAAUAAUAUUUUGAAAUUUGUAUGAUAUUAUAUAUUUGUAUUAUUUAAUGUAAUAUUUGAAUACAUUUAUUUUAAUGAUGAUGUAUGAGUUAUUACUAUAUUAUAAUUUUUAUCAAAGAUAGAAAUCAACUUUACAUUUAGCCAUAAAGCAUGUAAUAAUAUGGCAUGUCAUAUUUUUUAGUGAAAAGGAUUGUAAAUAAAACAUGUAUUAAACCAUUUUGCAAAUAAUGUUUAUGGGAUUGUUCACAUGCGUGUUAAAUCAUUGUUAAAAUCAGAUUGGUUCAAUAUACACCGCUAUACCUGAUUCGCAAAUUAUUAUUAAAAAAAGCAGGAUCACCUAAUUUACGUCCAGGCUUUGUAUAUUGGUUUCAAUAGGCCUAAAGUAAAAAUAGAAUUUACCACAAGAAAGUAGUAAAAAUAGAAUCGUAAAAGUGGUACACAACUACACACCAAAAACAUAGCUCAAUUAUAGGCAGGAUUGUUAUAUCGGAUAUAAUUGGACCACACAAUUAUUAAUGUGACAUGUGACGUGAACGAAUCGACCUUUGACUCACCAAAAAAUAGUAACCAUGUAACCAGGUAGGACCAUCAUUAACUCAAGUCUUUUAAUUAGGGUUUUUAGCUUUGGAUAAGAGACAGUUCUUAGCUUUUUUUAGAUUUUAACUAAAAAAAGUUAAGAACCGUAUCUUAAAUAAAAGAUAUAAAAACCGUUUAUUAGCUGAAAAGUGUAAAAAAAAAGUGUCAAAUCAUAAGUUAAGAACCCCAACUAAAAAAUCAGAGUUAAUCAUGUCCUAAGAGCAUGAUUAAUGGAGAGUUUUUAGGAUGAGAUUCUUAGGAGAUAUAAAAAUCAUCUCUUAAUUUUUAAUUAAAAAAACUAAGAACCGGUUUUUAAAUAAGAGUUUUUUUAGUUAAAAGCCGGUUCUUAGCUUUUUUAGUUAAAAAUUAAGAGACAGUUUCUUACAUUCCGCUAAGAAACUCUCUAAUCGAUUAGAGUUCUGACAAUAUUCCAUUUGAUUCGAAGGAAGUUAAGAUUUGUUUAUUUUAUUAAUAAUUCUUUUGAUCAUUGUAUAUCAAUUUUAAUGUUACAUUCUUGUUUGUUAUCAGUAUUCAGAUUGUUCCGUUCGAGUAUUGUAUUAUUAAUCCAAACUCAUCACAUGUUGCUUUCGAUUGUGUCAAAAUGUAGAGCAUAUAAUGUUCCUCUUCUUCUUACUUCUUAGUAUCUUGACGUGAACUGAAUCAACUCACAUUUCUUGUAGAGAAAAUGGUUUUCCUAUGGUAAAAUAUUGAUGAUAAAACCAAUUUGUGGAUAAAACAUCAAAUAAUCGUUAAAAUCGCAACCUAUAUAAAUCAAAUAAAAGGGAAAAAAAUAGAUACUUAUGAAUCAUGGUUAAGAACAUGCGUACCAUCAUAAGUAUUAAAAAGCUACAAUUAACCAAGUUGGCAGAACAAGGAUUAACAUGAUAAUAUGUAUUGUUUAGUUAUAAGAAAAUCUUACUUCAUAAUAUACGAUUACAUGAGGUCGUCCGUUAAAUGCAACAUCUUCGCUAUCUUUUCCGAAAUCAUGUUAUGCAUACUAAAUACGAAUCGUGUGUACACACUAAAUAAAUAUUUAAGAGAUAAGACACUCGAAUGGGAAAUGAGGUGUCGAUAAAACUGACGUGGAGAUAACUUUUUUUUUUUUUUGAUAAAGCGUGGAGAUAACUUAUGAUAUAAUUUUGUAUGCUUUCCAUAAACUAAAAAAAAAUUAUUAAGAUCACGAGCAUCUAUUAUUAGUAUAAUUCAUAAGGAUGAUCGAAUCAACCGUUAAUCUUAUAUUAUAAGUUGUAAUUCCAUUUUUUUCCUCCACUUUUCAACGGCUUUAAUUGUGUCAUCGAUGACUCUAAUCAAAGGAGACAAAAUAUCCCACUUAGACUUAUUUGUUAUCUGGGCUUUAUAAUAUGUAGUUUUAAAGCACUAUUUCUUUCUUGCGACAUUACACUGUAGGAUUUGGUAGAUAAGCAUAUGUACUUCGUAAUGUGCAACUUUUACAUUUAUAUGAUUAGGUGCGAUCACAUAAUACGGGUACGUACAAAUUAUAAUUAAUUAGCAUGAUGAUUUCAUAAAUCCUCAUAUGAUGUUAUAACAUAGGGUCUCAUAGACUAUAUAAAUGACAUGUUAUAUAUAUUUCCGUUUACAUCAAAACCAGAUCUAAUUCUGGCAUUAGUGAUUAUUGAAUUAUAUAUUCAACACACAAGUACACUGCCUCUGCAUGAAACUCAGCUAAUAACUUUAAUCGUUUAAAAGUUCAUCACUCAUUUAACCUUAAACUAUAUCCAUCCUCAAUUUUGAAAGUCGUACUUUUGGCCGCUACAAAACUUUAUACAUGCAUGUUUAAUUCUUUCUUCUUACAUGAUCACUACAUCUAUUGGAGAGAAAAUCACACAUCGGAAAUAUAAAAGGGACUUGAGUAAUAUAUAAAGAACUUGAGCCAAUCCACUAAUUGCCAAUUGGUUUUAAGUUGGAAGUCCAAAAAACUUAUUAUGGUAUCAGAGCGGACCCAAUAUCUUGAUCCAUUAAUCCGGCCCGAACAGUGACCCGAUCAUCCCGUUAGCUGAUUGCCCAUAGAAAGCUCAGUUCCGUCGAGAUCGCUAGAAAAUAAAGCAUGAUUUCGGAGAGGGUAUGAUGGAUUCUGCGAAAUUAAUGGUUAUACGCACCAUUAUCUCGAGGGAUGGUAUUGGAGUGAAGAUCCCACAUCAAAAAUAUGAAAGAAACUUGAGUAAUAUAUAAGAGAUUUGGACCAAUCCACUAAUAACCAAUUGGUUUUAAGUUGGAAACCCAAGAAAUUUAUCAACAUCCAUACAGAUAAAAAUUUACAUGCAUGUUCCAAUUACUUUUCAAACUCAUGCUAUGCUUCAAUAGCAUCAAUUUUGGUUGAUAGAAACAAAUUAAAGAGACGGCCGGCAUCGUUUUGACCUUUUUAACAUAAUAGAGAAUGUGGUAAUAAUACAGUGAACAAGGGAAGGUGAGUGGAGAAGACACUUCACCAGUACUGCACUUCACACUUCCUUUUGGAAACAAAAGGAAAAUGUAUUUAAGCAAAGUUGAAUGCAAAGAAUAUCUGGAAUAUCAUACGUGAUGCACCGUCUAGAGUUGAUUGGUAUAAGGGGCCGGUCUGGUCGACAAUGCGAUUUUGCGAUGCAAUAUCAGAUUUGUAAAUGUUCGAGUCUAGUCGAUUACAAAGACUAAACGUUAGAAAGUCUUGAAAAUAUUUAUGAUGCGUAAAAAUUUGCUUUUAGAUAACAUAAAAUAGACUUUCAAAGUUUAUAAUGCGUAGCAAAAAUGUUUUUUGAGAACAUAAGAUCGUGUGAAGUCUAAAUGGAGUUUUCUCAAAACCUAGUUGCCAAAGAACAUAGUUAUAUAUGAGUGGUUUCCAUAAAAGAAUAGAUAACUGAAGAUGAAUGAAAAGUGUAUACCUAACUUUGACGACGGUUUAAGAUAAUAACUAACUACUCAAAGAUAAUAACUAACUACCCAAAAAUAAAUAAAGUACUGAUGUUUCUGUAAGAUUUAUGUUGACAUUGUGUUAAUUAGAAGUAUUAUUGAGGUGGAAUAUGUAAUAAUAUAUACAAGAGAUAUGCUAAAAAUGAUUCUUCUUAAAAUUUAUUACAAUUGUGUAUAAGAUACAAAUUAAAAAUUACAGAUAUAAAAUAUUAAAUGAUACUUGAAUAAUAUAAAAUCAUAAAUCAAAGGAAAAGAAAUAGUACGAAGUAGUAAUAAAAAUGAACUAAUGCAUUAAUUACUAAUUAACUCUAAAAUAAUUUCUGAAAAAAACACUAAAAAUUUUAAAUGGAAGAAACUAUAUAUUUAUUUUUGAGUUAUAUAUUACGUGUGUAUAAGAAGAAAAUUAUAGUACUUAAGAUGAUCCACAUAAUCUUAAUAAAUGUUGGAUUGGACUGUAAAUUCAGUUUAAAAUGGAGUUUGAUAUAUACAUUAAAGUACAGCUUUGUGUAACAGUUCUAUUAGGUUUUUGAAGAAAAACGUUUGUUGAAAAAAUCAAAAAGAAAAAGAAGAAAUGAUAAAUGAAUUUUUUUUCAAAAACAAAAAGAUAAAUGAAGGAGAUAAAAAGAGAAACAAAUAAAGCAAGCGUGACGGAGAGAAGAAUUGAACAAAGCGAAGAGCACCACGUGUUUUAUGAGAAAACUUUGUUAUGAGACGUGUCCUCUUCACUAAUGACGUACCAAAACAAUUUGAUUUCACUUCUCUAACCAAAACAACAAAAAGGAAAGUUAGACAACAUAAUGGUCCAAUAGGAAUAGAAGAUUAGCGAGACAAUACAGACCCAAAUGUCCUUUUAUUCAUAUUUUACGUGUUAUUUUCUGCUUAUUUUAAGACUUUAUUUUUCCUUUUCAAAAUGUCCAAAUACACUCAAUUUUAUAAUGCAAAGUUUUGUUGUUACACGAGUCCAUAUAUCAUGAUUAUACAAAGCUGGUUUGGUGAGGGGGGGAUUAUGCUUCUUUUCUAUUAAACUAUUUAGUGGAGUUUCUAGAAAAUGUAUACGUGAAGUAUGCUUUUCCGUUAAAUAUAUAAUCUGCGAAGUUUGUUUGGCUAAUUUAUAUAUUCAAUGAUUUAUAUGUGGUCACAUAUAAUACCCACAAAUUCAAGACUUCUAAUUCUAGUAUAGUCUCAUAUUAAUUUAGUAUGACUCGAAUCAUUAAUAUAAUAGAGUUAAACAAGUAAGUCCAUGUUCAUACUCGAGGUCUUAGGCUAUUGUUAUUUAUACAAACAAAUACAUAUAUUGUGCUUGUGACUUUUUAAGGCACUAUCCACGUAUAUCACAAUUUCAAUCUAUAAAUGAUGACAUAAAUAACAUAUUUAAACAAUAAAAAUAAAAAUACAACAUAUAGAGAAGACAAAACAACAUAAUACAAUACAACCAUUUUUAACUGUGUUUUUCUUAAACAAAUAACUCGGUUACUGUAUGCUGCCAACAAAUAUUUGGGCACAUUUUUAUCAACAUAAUUGGAAGAAGUUGAUGACAAAAGAACAAGACAUAAAUGUAAAGAAACUCUGUUUGCGUGUUGACCGAGUAGAAAAAGGAGUGGUCGAACAUCUAAUAUAGAUCUCGUCAACUAAAGUGCAAGUGAAAAAAUAACACUAUGACUUCAGACAAUUCAAAUUUAAUAUCUUAGAGACCAAGUCAUAUGAUGUAACACAUCUACUUUUAAUAAAUUGCGUGCGUAAAGUAUUAGUGUUCAAAUAACUAUUUUGUUCAUUUCUGUAAGUUGUGAUUUUUAGGUAACUGGUUUAAAGGGUAAUUAGACGAUUGAAUGAACUACUAAAGUAGUGGUCCUAGUGGACGAUGUUGUUGUUGUCUUCGGAGUAAAUAUAGAACGACGACACGCAAGGAAUUGUCAUGUGUGUUGUGUUUGCUAAUUUUAUUUUCGGUUUUCAGAAGUUUCAAACUUUUCAAGCUACAAAAUGAUAUCGGAGGUUGAAUUUAAAUGAGAUCAUGUAAUGUUUCUUUGCUUAUGACCCUACAAUUAAGAGCGGUCGGAGAAUUAGAUUAUAUAACGUGGAUCAAUGGUAUGGACACAAACACUUGAGCGAAGCCAAAUAAUACUCAGAUACUUGUAUUACUCGUCUUAAUUUUAACACCAGUAGAACGUAUCAUACAUAGGAUCAUAGGAGUAUAAUGCAGUUCAAAGAUAUUUCCAUGUGGAGAUGAAUAGGCCAAGUUGGAGUCUCAAACAAACAAACAAGAACCUAUUGAAUCAAGUUGGUGAUUGUAAUUAAUUGAAACAUCGUUUUGCCAAUAAAUGCAUAUAAAUAUUUUGUUAGUUAUAUAAACAUUUCCCUUUUAUUUAUUGAUUUCUGACGACGAAUUUAAGACUUACUUUAGAAUUUGUUUGCACCACUGCACACCAAUCUUUGGUGAGUAAACUUAUGCCUUACAAUGCUUCGAACAAGCAAUCUCACAGGUUUCUCUUUCACAGCCGACGUAUCUUCAAGUUGCCACGGUCAGGUAGCUUUUAUUAACAGGCAUAGAAACCGAAGAAGCCACAGACAAAGGGAGUUAGAGAGUGAAGUGUGAAAGGACUCAACUUUGAACAUUAACACAUUGCCCUGUUUCUGUGUUUGUUCACUUUUUCUCUUACACACACUCUCACUCCAUUCCUUCUCUCUCUGUCAAUAAUUCAACACGUGGCCACUCAUCUGGGACCCACCAUUCACCUCCCGGUUUAUAUAAACCCUGAACACUUCAUCCCUCUCAAACCAUCUCUCUCUUCUCUCUUCUCUCUUCUCCACUUCAACAAGAAAAGCAAAAAAAAAACAUCAAACUUCACUUGAAAGCACCAAUACUGACUAAUCAUAUUUAAAAUGACUUCUUUCACGGCGACUACGGCGGUUUCUCGGAGAUUGGUCGGUGGUAAUCAUACUAAACCACCAUUAUCGUCUUCUCAAAGCUCCGCCUUGAGUUAUUCUUGCUCCGUACCCAUGACAAAUCGUUCCCAACGAAAGCUCAAUGUUUCUUCUGCGCUUCACACUCAUCCUGCUCUCCAUUUCCCCAAGCAAUCCUCCACCUCUCCCGCCAUUAUUGUCAACCCAAAAACCAAAGAAUCUGACACCAAACAGAUGAACUUGUUCCAGAGAGCGGCGGCGGCGGCGCUGGACGCGGCGGAGGGUUUCCUCGUGAGCCACGAGCGACAGCAUCCCCUCCCCAAAACCGCCGAUCCUAGCGUUCAAAUCGCCGGAAACUUCGCUCCGGUGAACGAACAGCCUCUCCGGCGUAACCUCCCGGUGGUCGGAAAAAUACCGGAUUCCAUCAAAGGAGUGUACGUGCGCAACGGAGCCAACCCGCUUCACGAGCCGGUGACAGGUCACCACUUCUUCGACGGAGACGGGAUGGUUCACGCCGUGAAAUUCGAAGACGGUUCAGCUAGCUACGCUUGCCGGUUUACUCAGACCAACCGGUUUAUCCAGGAACGUCAACUGGGUCGACCGGUUUUCCCCAAGGCCAUCGGCGAGCUUCACGGCCACACCGGUAUUGCUCGACUCAUGCUAUUCUACGCCAGAGCCGCAGCCGGUUUAGUCGACCCGGCUCACGGAACCGGAGUAGCUAACGCCGGUUUAGUCUAUUUCAAUAACCGGUUAUUAGCCAUGUCGGAAGACGAUUUGCCAUACCAAGUCCGGAUCACUCCAGGUGGAGACUUGAAAACCGUUGGCCGUUACGAUUUCGACGGGCAGUUAGAAUCCACAAUGAUCGCCCACCCGAAAGUCGACCCGGAAUCCGGCGAGCUAUUCGCUCUAAGCUACGACGUCGUUUCAAAGCCUUACUUAAAAUACUUCCGCUUCUCACCGGACGGAGAAAAAUCGCCGGACGUCGAGAUCCAGCUCGAUCAGCCGACGAUGAUGCACGACUUCGCGAUAACAGAGAACUUCGUCGUUAUACCGGACCAGCAAGUCGUCUUCAAGCUCCAGGAGAUGAUCCGCGGCGGCUCUCCGGUGAUCUACGACAAGGAGAAGGUCGCGAGAUUCGGAAUUUUAGACAAAUACGCGGCGGACUCGUCGGGAAUCAGGUGGAUCGAAGCUCCGGACUGCUUCUGCUUCCACCUCUGGAACGCGUGGGAGGAGCCGGAAACAGAGGAGGUCGUCGUGAUCGGGUCGUGCAUGACUCCGCCGGACUCAAUUUUCAACGAGUCCGACGAGAAUCUCAAGAGCGUCCUCUGCGAGAUUCGGCUCAACCUCAGAACCGGAGAGUCCACUCGCCGUCCGAUCAUCUCCGACGGAGAUCAACAAGUCAACCUCGAAGCAGGGAUGGUGAACCGGAACAUGCUCGGCCGUAAGACAAAGUUCGCUUACCUCGCUUUAGCCGAGCCGUGGCCUAAAGUCUCCGGUUUUGCGAAAGUCGAUCUCGCCACCGGAGAAGUCAAGAAGCAUCUCUACGGCGAUGACCGUUACGGUGGAGAGCCUCUGUUUCUCCCCGGAGAGGGAGCAGAAGACGAUGGGCACAUCCUCUGUUUUGUUCACGACGAGAUGACGUGGACGUCAGAGUUACAGAUAGUUAACGCCGUUAGCUUGGAGGUUGAAGCGACGGUUAAACUUCCGUCAAGGGUUCCGUACGGGUUUCACGGCACAUUUAUUGGAGCCAGUGACUUGGCGAAUCAGGUGUAAAUAUACACAAGAAUAUACACAUAGUACGUGAGAUGGUUAAGAAGCUUCUAGAAGAUUAAGAGAGAGGGAUUUACCAGUGGGAUGCUUUGCAUAUACGUCCCCGGAAUCUUCUCCUCUUGUGUGUUUUUUUUUGGUUUUGCUCUGUUUUUUUUUUUACUUUUGGGGUGCGGUUUCUAGUUCCCUUUUUUAUGGGGGUCAAUCUAGAAAUCUGAAAGAUUUUGAGUGACCAGUUUGUAGCUUUUGGGCUGUAGGGUUAGCCUAGCCGUUCGAGCUCAGCUGGUUUCUGUUAUUCUUUCACUUGUUGUUGUUCAUAGUGAGAAGUGUAUAUUUAUUAAACACAAAACUUUGUUUAUAUGUGUACUGUUUCUAGCAAAGAUUAAGCAGCAUUGUAGUCGAUUUUAAAUACCAUUUUGCCUAUGUUUUAUUUGCAUCCUUUUUACUCAGGGAAACGUUUCUGGUUUGUGUCAUCAUCAAGUGAUUUUGUCAUUGGUAAAAAUAUAUUUUCAAUGAUUAUAUUUCUGAAAAAUGAACGAAUGAGAGAGAGACAAGACUCAAGUAACUUUUGUACGUCAAAACAAAAUUUAAUGACCAAAUCACACGCCGUAUAGGUUCAGGUAGUCAAUUUUUGGUAUUUGCAUGGAAGAGAAUCUCCAAUUCAGUCAAUUUUUUCGAAAUAGAAACCAACGAGUGAAGUUAACCCACGUCAAAAAGAGUCAGUAUGUAACUUGAAUAUGACUUGUUUUUUUUGGGGGCGAACGAUUAUGACUUCUUGUUAUUUACCUAAGUGAAGAUUAAUUAAAGUGCAUUUAGUAACCGGUCGUUGUCAUAAACCUAUAUUAAAGAACGUAAUGUUAUGUUGGUAAGCAGAACCGUAAACAUUGGAUGUGUUAAUGUGAGUGCCUGAGUGGUGGGUGGUAACACGGUGGAGAGACCAAUCAAAACUAGUGGAAUUGUGACGAAAUUAACGGCAUUUUUAUAUUUUAGGUAAUAACGCAUGUGUUACUUUUUCUUAGAUAUAUUUAAAAUGUAAUAUUGGUGAUCUAUGAUUGUUUAGAAAAAAAUAAAUUCAUAACCAAAGAAAGCAGAGUCAACUGUCGAAACAGUGUUUCGGUGUGUUGAGAUUAAGACAUUGCCAAAGUAAUUGGUAGGCAAUGAUUUAACAACUUUUGUUUGGGAAGAUUAACCUUAAGUAGGUUGCUUGCACAUAUUUAUUUAUUUUUAUGUGUUUUACGUACACGUUAAUCAUUAUAUUUAAUUUUUUUGGAUAUUGGCGAAAAUAUUAAACGGUUAUGCUUAUCGAAGCACAACAUUCAAAUAUAACAGCCCUUAGAUUGUUAUUCUAGGUUUGUAUUAUCCUUUUUUUUUGUUUAAUAGCUAUAGGUUUAUAUCGUAAAAUAAUGGUUGAAACUUGAAAGUGUUAAAAUUUAGAAAUUUCGUGGUUAAAUACCAAAUAAUUAGCUUGUUGUAUGUAUUUGGGUAUAUGUGUUUAACAUACAGUAUAGGAUAAGGGAAAUCGCAAAGUGAAAAUGGUGUGUGAAAGAAUCACAAACUGAACAUUCUAUUAGUUAAUGCUAUAGGGAUCAAAAGCACAUAAGUUUGCUUUCACUUUCACAUUUACACGAAAAUAUCUCAAACACCAAAAAGUAUCAAGGCAUAGAUCAUACAUGAUAUUGGAAAAUGUUAAAAAUAAUUAUUAAUAUGUGGCCAACUUUGAGAUAUCUUCACAUGGUGUUUUUUUAAUGUGUUUGCUUGUUCACGUUCUCUUCCAAAAUUAUAGAAACCCACUAAUAAUGUUCUUGUUGGAAUCAAAUUAUAGUAUACAUUUACACACACACAUAUAUAUAUGUGUGUAUAUAAUCAGUGUAGCUUUGUAAUUUUAAAGUAUAUAUAUAUAUAUAUAUAUAUGUAUAUAAUUAGUGUAGCUUUGUAAUUUUUUUAAACUAUUGUGCAUAAAAAUAAAAUAAGCUUAAUACGAUUUUUUCCAAACAAAUUUAGGUCAAAAAGUUCGCUGGAUGCAAAAACGUAUUCAGGAGAACUUCACUGGAUACGACGAAAUGUUACGGUGGGUUCCAGUGGAUACUUAAACCGUUCACUUCUGCCGUCCACGUAUCAAUACUUUUUAAUGUUUAUAAUAACCAAAAAACUAUAUGCAAUGGGAUAUAUUGAAGCCAACGAGCAGAUGUUCACUAUUUACCCAAAGUAGAAGGUGACUUUUCUCCCAACCAAUUCCAGCCUAACCACUUUCCUUUAGUGGAAGGUUGGCACCUACGUUUAAUAUAUUGGCAGUAAUACUUACUCCUACCUUAUUUGGACCGCGAAAUCCGGCAUUGUGAUUCGCAGAAACUAUAUGUUAACAUGUGCUAUUUUUUGUUGUCUUAUACAUAAUUUUUUAUAACAAAAAAAAACAAACAAAUAAAUAAUUCUGUGAAUUUUAUCAACAAAAGGCUCUUGGCGAAUACAGAAAGUGUCAUGCAUGUGGUGGUAUUGUCAGGUUCCACAUAUAACAUAUGUGUGCAUUAAAGUUAUUCCCAUAAGGGUAUAGUUUGGGGACAUAUAGGUCGAUAAUCAGCAGACUCUGUAUCCACCCUAGCAUGGCGAAGGCGGACCUUUCCAUAAUGAUGGUCCAAUGAAAAUGGUAUUGCAACUCUUGUUUAUUCGAAGGUAAAAAAAAAUUAGCUAGACAAUUAAAUGUAGAAAUAUUUCAUGGAAACAAAUUAUGAUUGAAAUCCAAAAUGGAAAGAGUACGGUAUACCCAAACUUGUAUGGUUGAUAAUUUGAAAUGAAAAGAGUCGCAAAUCUGCUAUACCAAUAAUACCAUUUUAUCAUUUAAUUUGUACCAAUUAUAUAUUUAUAGUAGCAUGGUUUUUCAUUAUUGAUAACGUAGCUAUUAGCUAGCUAAAUAAGGCUCGAGGUUUAUAUAUACACAACAUACUUAGCAAAUGGUGGCAAGAUAAAAUAUAAAACUGGAUAUCGCUUUGUGAUUUGUUUUCUGCGUAGUUGUUCAUUCUUGUGAAUUGUCGAUUGAGUAGUUUGCGGCGCUUUAUUUGGCUCUUCGUCGUACAGGGAGACCACAACAAGUAGCUAGUGUUGGAAUAAUUGUUGUUCUGGACGUUGUAGUCUUUUUUUUGUUGGCAACGACAUUGUAGACUAUCUUGCUCUUUAACUAAUGGAAUGACGAAUAUUAACUAUAGAUGUAAAUAAGACUAAUAAGUGAUAAGAAAUUAUUUUAAGUAACUUUUUUUUUUUGCAGAAAACAGAACGAAACACAAAACAUAUCUAAAAACCCAUGCAGUUUUCCUGGAAAGCGAGAAGGAUAUGAAUUGAUGGAAGUUAAGUUAACAAACAUAGUAUUGUUUAUUGUAAAACUUAAAUUAAAACCCAUGCAGUUUUCCUGAAAAGCGAGAAGGAUAUGAAUUGAUGGAAGUUAAUUAACAAACAUAGUAUUGUUUAUUGUAAAACUUAAUUUUUACAAAUUAUUUUCGGUCAAAUUUGUUUUUAAAAAUAAUUGUCAAAUCAUCAAUAAAGCAUCAAAUGAUUCGCUCAACGAAAUGUCCAAGGAUAUUCUUAUCAACAGUAUGUGUUGUGUUAUAUGCAUAUGUCGGCAUAAAUAAUAAUACUCUUGUCUUUAUAUGAGAGCAAACCACGUGGCAAAUGGCAGCAAAUGGUAGUUAUGACCAACCAUCGAACCAAAACUACCAAAUGAUCUCAAGUAUGUUUUUCUUUUAAAAAGAAUAGCUCAAGUAUGUUGAUUUGUCCAAAGAUACAAAAGUAAUAAUUGCUAAAGAGUGGCAAGAAGUAUUGAGGGGACCUCUGUGCUUUCUAUUUGAAAGAUUUAAUAAUCAAAUAAUAUACAUUAUACAGCGUAAGUUACAAAAAAAAAUAAAAAAUAUAUAUAUAUAUAUACAGCGUUUUUUUAGCAAUCUGUUUUUUUUUUCUUGAAAAAUGGCUUAUCAAUCUGGCUUUUUUGGGUGUAAAUUUUAAAUCAAUCUGUUGUUUAUUGAGAAUGGGCUUUAUCAGUCUGUUGUUUAUUGAGCUUUUACAUGUGUUGCUAUAUCGGGAAGUCAAAACAGUUCCAUGCUUCAUGAAAGGAAUACAUAAUAUACAUUUUUUUUAUUAUCCAGUGGUUCUGGACCAAUGCCCUAAUCUCCAGGCCCGAGAUCCAGCCGAGGCUGAUACCAUUUUGGCGUAAAGCAUUCCUCCUACGGUAAAUCGAACCCAAGAACACAACAUCACCACUGCGCUAAGCUGCCAUGUCUGUGGUUAAUAUAUAAUAUACAUUCACAUCAUUGAAGGAUUUUAUAUAUGCACAAUAAUCACAUAUAUGUCCUUUGUACGUAUAACUUUGUAAAUUGUCGAACUAUGCAUGGUUUAUAUAAUAAACACAUACAUGUCUAUUAACUUGGUCGUUUUAUAAGUUGGACUCCCUCUCGAAUGGAAAAAACUGCAACGAGUAUGUGGCCAUGCAAAACCGAAUUAAUUAUCUAAAUGUUUACUACUGCUGCAGUUCUCGUCGAUCAAACUAAGAACUAAGGGCAUGUGCAUCGGAGGCUUUUAGCAGUUUUUUAGGAGGACCACAAAAACAUAAAAAUCGGUAACCAAAAGCGCCGGUUAAGGAUCAAUAUUUGAGUGAUCUUUGUACUGUUUUGCGGGCCCCGCGACACGUGGCGGUCCGCGAUUAGUUCUGAUUUUUUUUUUUCUUUCUAUAAAUCAGAUAAGACAGAAAAAAAAUUUAGAAACUCAUUUUGGGUUUCACCUAAUAAUCAUGGUCUAAUAGAUUAGAAAUUAACCUUAAAAUAGAAUAAAUGGAAAGAGAUAAUUGCUUGAUAUUGUCUAGGGCACGUGUUCACACACUGUACGUUGGGCAUAAGAUCGUUGUUGUGGAUAAAAGAAAAAUGCCUACCGCAACAAACAGAAAAUAAAAUUUCAAAUUAUUGUUUCCUUUUCAAAUGAAAAGUUUGGGAAGAGUGACGAACGAGAUGAUGAAUACCACUAUAAUCGUGCCUCAUAUAUUCUAUAAAAGAUAAAUGCCAAUAAUGCACGCCACAUUACUUAUACUUACAAAACUUUAUCAUACAUGUAUCCACACACUAUCCUAAUUCCUAACUAACUAGAAACUACCAUGUAUUAGUUUCAUGGGUCCAAAAAUAUAGAUUCAGAUUUUACUUGGAUCUACGCUAUAUAUAAACUAAUCGAUUCAUUUGAAUAUUUGAUGCUACAUUUAUUUAUAGAUUUUUUAUAGUGUAAAGCUCCCCAUAAAGAAACCAACAGCAUUAAAACAUCUGGGGGAUUUUGUGUAGUGUGGAGGUCGACCUUUCAGCGUUAAGAUAGGCCAAUCAUGUUUUUCCUUGAUCGUAUUAUUUAAUAAUAUUAGUAUACUAUAGUACAAACUUCUUUUUAUCUCGACGGAAUAUAGUACAAUUUCUUUUGAAUGUUUUAAGCAUUACUAUCUUAUAUUAUUAUCACACUCUUAGCAUCCGUCAUAUUGAAUAUUGUUCACGUGAAUUUCACAUACGCUGAUUAAGAUGUUACCCGUUAUCCUCUUUAUUGAUUGUUGCUAUAUAUAUAUAAAUCCACCCUUCUUUUUACUAUACUUUAUCGAUUUUUUUUUGUUUCCUUGUACAUAAUUCAUAAGUGCAAAAGAUAUGAUUUUAUCGAACUCAUAAUAAAUAAUAAAUAAAACAAAAAUUAUUCUUUGGUUUGAUUUGUUGAAACUUAUUAGAUCGAUUUGGUUAUGAGAAUUCGGCCAAGAAAAACCUGAACUUUGCACGAAUUGCUAAAAAAAACAUGAACUUUUGGGCUGACCAAAAAAACACCAAACUUUCAUUGAAAUUAGAAUUAAUUAACAAUGUUUUCGCUGACUUGCCAAUUUAGCACGCCGUCAACAAAUUUAACAGAAAUAUUUAACGUCGUUUAUUGUUGGCGUUAAGUAAAACGACGUCGUUUGCAAAUGAGAUGAAACGACGUCGUUUUACAUGAUUUGAAAUUAAAAAUAUGUAAACCCCUAGAAUCGAACCCAGGUUGGUUGGUCAAAUGACAAGGUAUUUUACCACUGGGCUACUGGCACUUUCAAUGUACUUACUAACAUGUUUAUUUUUAUUUGAUACAUGUUAAAUAUAAAAAAUUCUCUAAAAACUUAAUAAGAUCUUUAAAAUUCCAAAAAAAUUAAAAAAUAAAGAAGAUUUUUAUAAAAUUAAUUUAGAAAUUAAAAUUAAAAAUAAAACUUUCUUUUUCCUUUUAAAAAAUAAAAACUCUUCCAAAAUUUUCUAAAAACUUAAAAAGAUCUUUAAAAUUCCAAAAAAAUUAAAAAAAUAAAGAAGAUUUUUAUAAAAUUAAUUUAGAAAUUAAAAUUAAAAAUAAAAUUUUCUUUUUCUUUUUAAAAAAUAAAAACUCUUCCAAAAUUUUCUAAAAACUUAAAAAGAUCUUUAAAAUUCCAAAAAAUUGAAAAAAUAAAGAAAUUUUUUAUAAAAUUAAUUUUGAAAUUAAAAUAGAAAAUAAAAUUUUAUUUUUUCUUUUCAAAAAAUAAAAAAUCUUCCAAACUUUUCAAUUUUUUUUAAUACAUUUGCUAAAAGUUGAAAUUAAUUGUACACACAUAAAAAGUUGAUAAUUGUAACUUUGAUUUUUUGCAUUUUAUUAUAAUUUUUUAAAAAAUUGGAUUUUUUUUUAAAAUGAAAAAUUUGGAAAUUUUUUGAUUUUUUAAUUUCAAUUUUAAUUUCAAAAUUAAAGAUAAAGUUUUUAUUUUUUAAUUUCAAUAAAAUUUUAAAGAUCUUUUUAAGUUUUUAGAAAAUUUUGGAAGAGUUUUUAUUUUUUAAAAAGAAAAAUAAAAUUUUAUUUUUAAUUUUAAUUUCUAAAUUAAUUUUAUAAAAAUCUUCUUUAUUUUUUAAUUUUUUUGGAAUUUUAAAGAUUUUAUUAAGUUUUUAGAGAAUUUUUUACAUUUAAUAUGUAUCAAAUAAAAGUAAACAUGUUAGUAAGUACAUUGAAAGUGUGAGUAGCCCAGUGGUAAAAGACCUUGCCAUUUGACCAACCAACCUGGGUUCAAAUCCAGGGGUUUACUUAUUUUUAAUUUCAAAUCCUGUAUUAAUAAACUAAAAAAGUCAACAAAAGUAAAUGAUUUUUUUGGCCAGGCUCGAGUACAGGUUUUCUUUGGCAAUUCGUGAAAAGUUUGUGUUUUUUUUGGCCGAAUUCUCAUUUGGUUAUAUACAUAGCAAAAUCUAGUUUUGUAGACGCGCGUAAUUUCCUUCGGAUACAAUCAUACAAAGACCAAAAAGCGAUUUUGAUAUAUGAUUUGCACAAACCAUAUAGCAGACAAUUUGGUAAAAUUUGCUCCACUUAAUUAUUUUUUAAUAAUUAGGCUUUUUCUCAAGCGACAAGAAUAUCUGACAUUGUACAGAAGUCAUAACUAUUAAUUAGGGUUUUAGCUUAAAAUCUUCACCCAGUAGACCAGUACCAAAAAAACAUAUACAUAUAUAUAUAUAUAUGAAUAUAUAUGAAUGUGAUUAAACGUUGAACAAAAAAAGGUGAUUAAACUUGAAUAUGCAGAAGAUAUGCUAUGUUUCAAAACUUUAUCCAGGACCUUUUAGAUAUAUGUUUACAGUUAUAUAUUAUUUAAUUAGUUUUCAUCUUUUACAAUAUACAAUAAAAAUCUGUCUGCAUGCAAGCUGCAAUGAACGGCUUAAGAUGAUAUGAAAACUUCGCACAUGAUUGAAAGCCACCAAAUGGAUAACGGGACCAAUUUUGUUUCUUUGUUUCUCCAUAUUUUUUGGAUUUAACGAACUGAAAUCAUUCAAUCAUCAUCGUCAUAUUCCCAUAAGAGAUAAAAAAAAGUCACAAUCAGCCACGCGCAAAAACCUCUGGACGUAUUAGAGGUUUCGAGGGUCGAGAAAGACACAACCACGUGACCGUCAACGUAACCACAGACCCAGUCUCAUAGGGCAUUAACUGAUUAAAAAGCAGAACAUAACAUUCUCUCCACAUCUCUUUAAUGACAUGAAAACAAUGCUUCUUAUAUGCCGCCAAAAUCAAUCGGCCGCCAUAUUGGAACUACAAAGAGUUCUGAUCAAGGGAUCAGUGACGCAAAUUAUUAUCUGUUAAUCAAACAACAAUGCUACCAAAAUCAAUAUACUGCCUAGUGACCUUUGACCAAAUAACGUAAAACAGAGAACAUGCUGACCAAUCCUCUCUUCUGAAUAUGCUAAACCAACUAGAUACUACAAACUUUCAAAACAAGAUUUGGAAAUUUAUAAUUAUCUCAUUACAUGGUCUUUUCACGUAGAUAUUGAGAAGUUAAUGACAAACAGAUCAAAUGUUCAGAAAGACCAUAAGCUCAAAGCCAGUUAGGAACUCCGGCAUAGAGAAGCAUCAUUGUCCGGAAAGAAGACGUUACAUAUCCAGCAAUAAAAGCAAUAAGAAUAGAAUCUGCAUUGUAAAUCACUAAGAAGAUUUUAGCAAAAAAAAAAAAAAAUCACGAAGAACGCGUUUGGCGUUUCUAUGUUCCUCUCUAUAAAACGCGCAGUCCGUGCUAUACUAAUAAACACCUUGUCGUGCUAUAAGGCCCAUUUCUGUCCAGGUUCGGCCCAUUGUACGAUAACAACUAAUAUUGCAAUAAGUUGUAGAAGGCUUUAGUGAUUUAAGGCCCAUUUAUGGCCCAUGAGAGCCUUAGAAAAGUAAAUGCUUAUUUUCUUAUUCGUUGACAGUUAUUACGAACUCACCGGGCAAGACGAGAGAGAAAACAAAACGAGGAGCGAGCGACGGUGAUCCGCUAUCAAAGCCGAGGGGAAGAUUUUCGAGGAUGAUCGGACGGCGUGCGGGAACGAAUCGAGCUGGCAUGAGGAGGGACGACUCCAUCCUGACUCGGUUUGUCGACUCAGUGUUUUCUCUAUUCCGAUUAGCUGAGUUUGAGAUCCUGUUUGUGCUAUUCUUCGUUAUAGCCUACGUCAUCUUCAAAGAUCUGGUAAAAUUCACCUAACGAUCGUCAGCAAAUUGCUUUUAUUCAUCUCGCGUUAUUUUCUUAAUUUGAUUGGAGUUGUUUUUGUUAAUUUUUUGCAGACGGCGAGGCCGGAGUACAAUCGGAUUCUUGUUGAGAAGCCUCGUGGAUAUGACGUAUGGCCGUUCUAGCUGAAAAAAAUAAAUAAAGAAUUUGUAUUGAAUGGUUAGUACAACUCGUACAUUGUUUGUGUACAACGCAUUUGAUUAGCCUUCUUCUCUUGUAGUAAAUGUUGUCACUUUGUUUAUUUUCUCUAUGGUUUUGAAUGGUGACCAAGGAACGAAAAGGAACAGUGGAAACUUAUGUAAUUCUCUUUUUCAUUUCUGCAAUUUUAUUCCUAUACGUUCUUUUCCUAUUCGUUCUUCGUGUUUCCGAAAAGGUCACCAAUCGAAACUUAUGUAAUUCUCCUUUUCUAAGAGCAUCAUUAAUCUGGUUCUUAAUUUGGGUUAUUAAUUCAUGAUUUGACAUUUUUGUUUUUGUUUUUUUUUCUUAUAUCUCUUAUUUAAAAGAUGGUUCUUAGUUAAAAGUGUUUCUUAGCUUGUAGCUGAAGCUAAGAACCCCAUCGUAAGAAUCGAGGUUAAUCAUUGUCUAAUGUAUCCUUAAGUUCGUUUGGAUUUUGAGUGAUAUAGCCAUCGCGCUUGGCUUAUUGGCGUGUCAAUGUUCAUACUGAUCUUUAUGAAUCACAAGAAAAGAAACUGAUAUAAUCAAUUCGUAGAGUUUAGCGUAUUUGUGAGCUCAAUCUACGCAUAGGAGGUGAAGAUAUAUAAUCUCAUGGUUUGGUGGUUUUAUAAUGUGUGUUUUAGUUUUAUAUGAUCUAAUAGAUACUUGUCGAUGUUGUUUACGCAAGAAGAAUAGAAGGUAAGUAGAAGAAGCCAAAUAAUAUUACAAGAAUCACUAGGCAUAGUUUGCGAUUCGACAUAGGGAGAAACAAGUCUUUAGAUAGGGUAGCAAAGUAGACCCAAUGAGAAAGUGUAGCCAUCACAUUACAUGUUCGCUUGUUGUUUUGGUCUCUCUAUAACCUGGCCGAAGGGUGUGGAGGGCGUGGAGUGUCCCAUUCGGUGGUGAUGUGGUUACGGGUGAUUUCCUUGAGAGACCUGCAGCCACUUAGUGCCAUUGUCAGCUCGAACUCAUCACGUAGCAUCUGAAGCACUUUUCUGACUCCAGCUUCUCCUUCAGCAGCAAGUGAGAACACCACUGGUCUUCCAAUCUGUGAUUUGAGAAGGCAUACAAAUAUAGUGUUAUUACUAUCAAAGGUGUCAAGCAGCUUUCUGGUAAAUUAAAGAUACGAUGCUUACAAAUAUCCCGGAAGCUCCAAGAGCAAGUGCCUUGAAAACAUCAGUGCCACGGCGAACACCACCGUCUAAGAAGACAGGGAUACGUCCUUGUGUCGCCUUGACAACCUGAACACAGGACAACAAAGCUGAAGUUGUUGCUGUACAUGAGCACACCAAUUUGAUCUUUAUAGUGGAGAAUGAUGUACCUCUUCAAGGGCUGAGAUUGUUGCUGGGACAUAGUCAAGCUGGCGAGCUCCAUGGUUUGACACAAUGAUCCCUGCUGCUCCAGCUUGAACCGCUAUCCUUGCUGUACGGAGGAUAACAAUAGUUGACUUAGACUAAACUUAAGUGAAGAAGACACAUUUGUUUGUCAGAUGGUAAACUCACCAUCCUCCCCGGUGAUAACACCCUUGACAAGAAUCGGCAUUUUGGUGAUUGUCUGGAGCCACUGGACAUCCUGUUUGUGUAGAUGAAAGUUAGACUUGUCCUAAAUCAAGUUUAACUACCCGGUUUGAUGUUUUAUCUCUUAAACUAUUUUACUCUCGUACCUUCCAGCUUAAGGUUCGGUCAAUUUGACCAGCAACAUAUGAAGCCAAGCCAGAGUCAUUGGCCUGCAGGUGGGAAGAGAACAAGCUCAAGAAACUUAAACAUAACAAGACUGCUUUAAGACUUGUUUUGAGAAACAUAUUCAGAUAGUAUCUGAUGGAUACUUACCUCGUCCAUCUUUCCAAGGUCAAGACCUUCAAAGUUCUUCAGUGUCAGGUUUGGAGGCAAAGUGAAUCUGUAUAAGAAGACCACACAACACUUUAUGCUUUCUAGCUCUGUAUCUGCAUCUUAAAAUCCAAUCAACUAUGAUCACAUUUUUAACUGACUUGGCAUUUACCUGUUCUUGAUAUCAGACUCUCUGCGACCUAGCCUUGGGGUGUCUACAGUGAGAGCAAUGGCUUUGAACCCUGCCCUCUCGGCUCUUCUCACCAGCUGCUCAACAACAUUUCUGUUCUUGUAUACCUACUCAGAACAAUCAUAACGUGUCAAAAAAUCAGGCGUGGCCAGGUCUUAAGACAAGUAACUGAGAUUACUUACAUAGAGCUGGAAAAAACGAAUCCCUGGCCCUGUGGAAGCAACUUCCUCGACACUGGAAGUAGCCCAUGAAGAUAGUGUCUGAAAGCAUCAUGUAAUAAUUCAAAACAUAGACAUGAGUAUUGUGUAUUUGGAUUAAGAAGCUCCGAACACCAAUAAGUUUAUGUAUCUUGCUUUAGAUUAAAAUGUUUAGUAAUGACAUAAUAACAUACCAUGAUGGUUCCAGCAGCAGAGGCAGCUCUAGCCGUAGCAUAUUCGCCUGUAUUAGUUUCCAUCAUACUCGUUAGAGCAAAUCCUUAGUCUCUAGUGAUGCUAAAACUAAUUUCCACUCUCUACGUUAUUUUUCUUCUACAGAAUGUUUUACCUUCAGGGUGAGCCAUCUUCUGCAUGGCAGUAGGAGCAACCAUGAUGGGCAUGGAGAUCUUGAAACCCAAGAUGGUUGUUGUCAUAUCAAUCUUGCUCACAUCAAUCAGAAUCCGAGGUCGAAAGCUGUUUAAACAUCCCAAAGGUAUCAAAUCACAUAUCUUGUUAAACCAUUUAACCAAACAAAAAAGUAUAUUGUCUUAAAGAACAGAAAAAAACUAACAGGAUCCUAGCGAAAGCGUUUCUGUUCUCUUGAAGAGUCCAUUGGUCCUCUGCACCAGAGGCAUAGUAGUCGUAUACCAUCUUAGGCAACUUCUCCUUUGCAAUCGCUUCAUACUCGGUUACGUUUGUGAUCUCCAUUUUCAGAUGUUAAUCUGUCAAAAGAGCAAAAACAAAGGGCUUGAGUUAGUUUAUCUGUUGUAAUAUUCAGACAAAGUCUUAUCCAAACAAGUCCAUGAACGCUGUUUGGUAUUAAAAACAGAAACACUCACUCACUUCUGACGAGAACUAAGCUCUCCGGAGAGAAUGAAGGUUGUGUAUAGCAAAGAAACCUUAUAUAAUUUUAUAUAUGUCAACGUUUAUAUGUUGAUUAUGUUGUGAUGGGUUAACUUAGCUUGUGGAUUCUGUAAACAGAUGAAAAAAACUGUUGGCAAUAGAAACUGAUAUGGAUGAGAUUCUAAAGGUUAAGAAUGAAUAAGGAGAUACGGACAAAGAUCAGAUGGAAUCUGUGUGUAUCUGAUUCAUUAAGCAACUUUGUGUGCUCCUUAGAUUUUCUUUCCUAUUAUCGCUCCUAAUAAUUUGUAAGCCAUUUGUUUUUUAUUCCUCCUUUUUUGUAAGGACGUAAUUAUCCAAGAGUUGAUGAAAGUAAAAAAGCAUCCAGAGGAGGAAGAACUUGAUUCAUGAGCCAAAUGAUAUAAAACAAUAGGCCUAGUUAUAAUAUUCAAGCCCAAAAACUUGUCACACCUCUCUGACCCGACCCUCUGCACUAUUGAUUGAACAUACCUAUGUAUGUUACCACAUUACGUAUAUCUAUGUUCUUGCAUUGUAUUGUUUUGUGCUCUUUUGCUUUGUGAACCGAUCUCUAGUUGUCUCUGUUGUAUAAGAAAGAAGAAUGGGACUGAAGGUAGAAGUAGCCAAAUAGCAUAAUAGUGAAUCUCUAGUCUGUUUUGAGAUUUCGAUACGGAGAGAAACAAGUUUUUCUUUGAUAUAAACAGCAGAGUAUGAAGCCAAAGUUGACCAAGCAGAAGAAUAUCAAGAGGUUUAGCCAUAUUACAUAGCUCUCUCUUGUUAUUGUUCUCUGGUUUGGUGGUCUCUAUAACUUAGGCAAAUGGCGUGGAGUGUCCCACUCGGUGACAAUGUGGUUCCGAGUGAUCUCACUGAGAGACCUGCAUCCACUUAGUGCCAUGGUUAGCUCGAACUCAUCACGUAACAUCUGAAGCACUUUUCUAACUCCAGCUUCUCCUUCAGCAGCAAGUGAGAAUACCACUGGUCUUCCAAUCUGAGCACACAUAUAAUGUGUUACUACUGUCAAUGGUUUCAAGUGAUUUUCCUGUAAAUGCAAAAAUAUAUAUGAUGCUUACAAAUAUUCCGG
RNAcentral lists this long non-coding RNA (72455 nucleotides) under Brassica rapa (field mustard). RNAcentral describes it as "long non-coding RNA (BRAP_LNC003873)". The record is from RNAcentral. Lineage: Eukaryota; Viridiplantae; Streptophyta; Magnoliopsida; Brassicales; Brassicaceae.